This 73641-nucleotide long non-coding RNA is filed under the name Gossypium barbadense (sea-island cotton). Its description in RNAcentral is "long non-coding RNA (GBAR_LNC009987)". Lineage: Eukaryota; Viridiplantae; Streptophyta; Magnoliopsida; Malvales; Malvaceae. The record is from RNAcentral.
AAACCAAAACCUUACCCUAAGAAAUGAAGAAGAAGAGUUUUGAGUGGCAACGAAGGUGUCCAAUAAGGGAAAAAUAAGGGAGGCGAUAAAUGUAUAUUUUCUUCUGCAACCAAGUGUAUUCUACCCAUUAAAAAGUCCUUGAAAAUGACCCCCCGUUCUCAACUGUAGUAAUGACUUGAGAAAAAUCAAGCAAAGAUGUAAUCCUGCCCACAAAAGUCUCUUCCUUUAGUUUCAAGGUAGAAAAAUUUGAGAAAAAUGUGAUAACUUUUUGUUGGCUUCAAGAUAAAAUCUUGGUAGAUUCGUUUCCAUUAUUGGGUUUUAUAAUUACUUUAAUAUUGCAUGUAAUGCUGUAUUUGCCGGAUCUUACAAUAUUUUAGAAUCCGAUGCAAUGCAAUACGUAUAGGCAAGAAAUGGUUAGUGAAAGUCCUCAAGUUUUGUCUGUUUUCCGCCAUUGAUUCUCCUGUUUUAGACCCUGAUUGAUUAAAUUAAUGGAACCAUUAUUUUACGUUGAGUUCAUUUUUAACUUUUUUUAAUAUUUUUUCAUUGCCCAUGGUUAGAUCUAAACUAAAAAAAAAUUCCACCCUGUUGUAUAUUUGACAAAAAGACCCAUCAAAGAAAAAAAAACAAAAAAGGGGAAGAUUUGCUGCUCAAAACAGGUAUCUGACACCUCCCCAAAGACAUAGGGGUGUUAGAAUCUGGUCUGGAAAAUCAAACAAAGUUUACCCUGUCCAUUUUUUUCUUCGAUGAAUCCUAGAAUGCAAAGCAAUUAUUAUUAAGUCUUUCAUUAAUUGCCUCAAAAGAACCAUUACUGAAUUCAUCAAAGGAAAAAAGGGGUGACAUAUGGAUAGGUUCCCUGAUGUUCUGUGUGGUUGGAGCUGGGAGGAGAACAAGUUGUUUGAGCUGGCUUUAGCAGUGGUCGAUGAACAACACCCUGAUCGUUGGGAAGUGGUAGCCGCCAUGGUUGGAGGGGAAAAAACUGCAGAAGAUGUGCAUAAACAUUAUGUCAUACUUUUGGAGGAUUUGCAGUUUAUCGAAUCGGGUAAACUCGACCAUAAACUUGCCGAAACUCAGUCCUGUAUUCAACUUGACUGCACUCAAUCUGUAUGCUGGACUGAUGAUGAUAACAAGUACUCACAAUUCUUUUUCUUUAUUUUCUUCUUCUUCUACCGAUUCUUUUUUAUUCUUUUUCCCGUCUCUAGUCCAUAUUCCUUAUUCACUAGGAUCCUUACAAAUCACAGCUAAAGAGAGUAAAUUUCGAUAUACAUGCAUCUGAGUUUGUUGACCCAAUCAUUUCUUCACGCAUGCAUAGCCAAAUGGGCCAAUUCCCGGCUCAACCUUGUCUUGGCCGUUCAUAAAGGGACAAAUACAAGAAUCCUGUUUUGCAGCCCCAGGGAACAGUGCCUCUCAAUCUAGGACUUCUCAUUGUUCUACUUACCUUAUUUGUUCCGUUUUUUCUUUCUUCUCCUGCAUCAUAAAUUCAUAAUAUCAAAUUUCAUAAGACAGACAUAUUUCAGGGUGGUUAUUGUGGAUCAAUUAUUCUGCUAUAUUUAUGUGGUUCUACUUCCAUGAUGAUGAAUUUUUAAAUCAUAAGCUUUUGUUAUCCUCAUUUUCUAGCAUUCCAUUAGUCUAGUUUUAGGCAGAUUUGAAGUUUUUCCUUGCAUAAGGCCAAUCAGAGUUGAAACAAUGCUUUUUUAGUUUCUGAUGUUUAAUUGUUUCUCUGCGCCUUACAGCUUGCUGGUUCGAUUAGACAUAAAAUGAUCCCCAGAGCUACUGUAUUGCUGGUUUAUUAUGAAAGCAGAUUUGGUCACUGGUGGCUGUGCCAGAACUUACGCCCCACACGAAUGCAGGUCAUAUUAAUAUAUCAAUUCUAAUGUUAUAUCCCUUGUUCCUUGAUGUAAUCACUUUCUUCAUUGUAAAACAGAAUUUAUGGGAGAAAAAAAUCAACUUUGCAAUUUGUAGAUAGUAGAAAUGGGUCUCUGGGCCUUGUUUAUUUGAAGCUGAUGUCCGACCCUUGUUAUACUUUUUCUUCAGUAAAAAAAUUCCAGUUUUAGGGUGGAUUUCUUUCAUGAAGGUUGCAAAUAAUGUGCUAGACUUGUUUUACUUAUCUCCCUAGUGAUAAUUGGUUUGAAUCUUAAACACACUCAACAAAAUUCCAAAUCAUAUUUGCUUAAUAUGGAUGUGAUUUUUACUCUUUGAAGGUGUCUGCCAAAGGUACCAAGAACUUGAUUUCAUAAAAUAUCAGUACUUUGAAGCUAAAAACAUCCAGACUUUAAAGUGAUAGUUUUUUUUUCCCGAAAUCACGAGAUAACAAGACAAAAUGGAAGCAAAAGCAGAUAACAUUACAUCUGAGGAAAUAAUAAUAUCGUCGUUGUUGCAGUCUUGUCCAUUUGCAUGAAGCUAGUUCUAUUCAAAACCCAGAUCAAAGAACACAAACUUGUUCCAAGCAUAAAACAUUCAACCGUAGUUUACAGUUGGUAAUUGAGGGUGUUGUCCUGGGGGGCAGGUGUGAAAUUCCAUUUUCUGAGAAGAAAACUUUCUUUGCCCAAACAACCUGUAUCAGAAACCUAGUGGCCAUGCCACGGGGUGAAUUUAAAAGCUGGAUUGUGGUAAACCCUGAUAUUCUUCCUCUCCUCUAUCUAUCUCCAGUCUGUCACUUAAAGCAAUGCAGCAUUUAUUCAAGUCUUCUUAUUGUGUCAUUUCCCCCCAAUCAAUGGUGAUAGUGGAAAAAACAAGAAGGUUCCUGGAAAUGGUUGGAGAAUCAAAAUGCAAAUUUCCAUUACCAGUAAAACGAAUAAUCUCUAUACUUGGAUUGAAAAGAAUAGAGAGAAAAUGAAGAUAAAAGAGCUGGGGCCAUUGGGGCUCAACAAAAGUCACCACAAUUACCUUGUUAAAAGGUACCUAUCAUGAACCUGGAUCUAAAUUACAGUCAUAAUAAUAAUUCCAAAAUGGGAUAAGGUGAAAAAGUUAAAUAAAAAAAGAGGGAGGAAAAAAAUGGAGGAGGCAGAGCCAGGGAAGAGGCAGUGCAUGGGCGGAGAAACAACAGAAUCAGUUGGUAGAUCCAUCCAUGCUCAGCCUGUUCCCUGUCUUUGUCUGUCUCUCCCAUCUUUCUCACUCUCUCUCAAUAUUGACUGUUACCUCAUCUUGUUUUGCCUCUGUUGGAAUGCCCCCAAAGAAACCUGCCACACUGAUGUCUAUGGCUCUAUGCUCUCAUCUGAGCUAUUUAAGCUAAACCCCCCAAUAACGUUUACAGUACAACUUGUACUAAACGGACCCUGUACUACAGUACUAGCAACUUCUUUGAGUGCCUGUUGAACAUAAAAGAACCCUUUUUGGUGGGAUGAAUUUGUACUACACUUGUAUCUGCUAGUACUCUCAUAUUCUCCAAUGAUACGAUGACUCUUACCAAAUAAAUUACUUCCAUAAAAGAAUUUAGUGAUUCCGUUAGCCUAAUGCAUCCACUUCAAAUCUUUGAAUAAACAGAUUCAGCUUGUCUUGCAGAUUUCAAAUGGUAAUGUUGGAUUAUGAUGAAAAUCAAUCAAGUAUGGUUGCAUUGAUUGAUAAGAACAAUUCGUAUUCUAUCUUUUUGGAGGAUAUUGGUUUCUUUAUGUAAAAAAAGGAUUAUUAGAGGUAUUUGGAAAAGGGGGAGCUGGUGGUGAAAUUCAGAUCAAAUGUUGGCUGCCGAUCUAAGAAAUCCACAUGAACUAGAAUUAGGCCGAGCAACCUUAUAACCAUCCAGCUUAUUGCACCAAGACAAUCACGAUAUGUAAGCUUUUGAUCAACAAUUUAAUUUUGUUCCUUUACUUUCAUUUAUCAACUUAAAUAAAUCAAUUUAAACCAAAAUUUACCCUGUUCUUUUUUGUUAAUCAACAAACUUGCUUAUGUUGAUUUAAAUUGUUUAAAAUUCAUUUAAAAGCCGAUUUACUAUUAAAUCAUUAUAUAUUAAUAGAAUUAUUAUCUGGGCGCUUAUUUUAUUUAUUUAUUUAUUUAUAGUAUAUUUGAUUAUAUCUAAAAUAUAAUAUAUAUUUUAAUAUUUGUGAACAUAUUUAUUUAUUGUUCAUGAAAUAUUUGUUUAAUUUAAACGAAUAAAUAUAAACGUACAUAAUUUUGAACAAAUGAACACAAAUAUAAAAUUGAAAUUCUUAGCAAGAACAGGUUUAAAAAUAAACAAACAUAGGUUGAUUAACAGCCUUAAUCCAAAAUUCAAACUUUCAAUAAAAUUUGAUUCCGAAGUUGUUUGUUUGAAAUUAAAUUAAAACUAGAACAAAUAAAAAUUGAAGGAUUUGAAUUGAAGAAUAAUAAAAAAGGAUAAAGAAACUAAAUAUAAGUAAAACUGAAAGAAAUGAUCAAAUUUGUCUUAGUAACCACGAUUAUCAGACAAGUUUCAAAAAAAAAAAAACAGAGUUUAACCUAGUUCUACAUAAAUGAACCAAUCAAUUUCAAGCAUAAUUAAAGAAUUGUAUAAUAUCUCUAAUAAUCAAAUAUAAACUUAUCAAAAUCCGUAGUUAAAUAUGUGUAUAGGUGGGACCAUAUAAGAGCUAAACUCAUCAUUUAAUCCAACAAAUACAUUUAUUUAGAAAGUUGAAGAGUGAGUGAAGAUAAUUUGUAUUACGGAUCCCUCAAUUCCACCUGUAAGAUCUCUAAGCUACUCGAACAAGCAAAGAACUUUUGCGAACAAAACCAAAAAGAAGGUAAAAGGAAGCAUCAUCUACGAAUAUGUAUUUACUUUUCAUUAUAUAUAUUUCAAAAGUGGGGAUGAUGAAUACAUAGGCAACAAAGAAUUUACAAUUCAAAUAUGAAUGAGAUCAGAAGCAUCUCGUUGCCCUUUCUCUCUUUUCUGAUUCCAUUUCCUUUUUAUAUAUCACAAUAUAAAAGUAAAAAAAUUGGGAUUUCUAACCUGAAUGAAUGUACAACUCCCCCAUGCAAAUGCCCUUUUCCAAGAACAAGUCUAGAGAAUCUCUAGACAAAUGAAUAUAGUUCACUUGGUCUGUUGAAUAUCACAUUUGAUAUUUUAAGAGAUCAGGAAGAGUGAUUUUCCCAGAGUUAUUUGUAUCAAGCUUGCUGAACUGAUUGCAUAUCUGCAAUAUAUCCUUCUCCCCAACCUUCCCCAUUUCUUUGAGCUUGUAAAUGACAUACUCCGAUUUACUGCAACCAGAAAUUUUAAGGUGGAACAUGAACAACAAAAGCAUCACAAGCAAAAGAACUACAAACAAGCCCCAUUAGUCUGCUAGAAAAUAAAUAAACAUCCUCAUGAAUUCAUAGACUACAAGCCCUUUAAUUUCAAACAAGCAACACAUAGAGUUCAUUCCAAAAUGAGCUAGAAAGAUAGAAACCCGACCUGAUAAAACCAUUGUUGUUUAUGUCAGCAGCUAGCAAAUCCUCAAUAGUGAUAUCCCUAUGUAGUACCCACUUGGCAAUCCUCCUAUGCCGCUUGUUAACCCUUGCUUCAGCCAAAUACAGGAAAGCUCUAGCAACGGCCAGCGUCGAAAUCAAGAGCCAAACACCAGCAAACAAGCGUCCAGGCAGAGUCUUAAAGGCCCUGUCCCCAUAUCCAACUGUGGUAACAGACAUAACAGACAAGUAAAUAGAAUCAACCCAGUCCAAGCUCUCCACAAAGUACAAAAUCAGAGAUCCAAUCCCAAUACACAACACCACAACCCCAAGUGCCAAACUGACUUUAAGCCUAAUCCUCAUCCUUCCUUUGUCCACAUCAACAAUGUAAUCCCUAGCUGAAAACCCUUGUUGUGAUUUCUCCAUCUGAAUCCCAGUUAAUAUCAUGUUCUCUUGCAGGUCGAGGACAUAAUUCACAACCCCACUCAACAAUAUAUCAAUAAAACCAAAACCCACCAACACAAACACACAAGCAAAAAUCUUGGUAGCUGGGGUUAAAGGAGCUAUAUCACCAUAACCAAUGGUGCACAUAGUGACUAUACAGAAGUAGAGAGCAUCAACAACCGGGUGAGUCUCGAUACCCGAGAAUUCAUCUCUGUUAAACGAAUAAAUAACAACACCGAGAAUUAAGUAAAUGGAAAGCAAGAAAACAGCUUGCCUGAUAAUGGAGCUGGACUCGGAUUGAGGUUUAGGCACUUGGGGUGUUUUGGGCUUCAAAUCACGCAUGACAGCCAUGGCCGGAGCCGUUUUACAUCGCUUGAGAGAACCGGGCUUCUUUGACCCUGUACUAGGAACAGGAUAAUCAAAACGGGGAGGGGGUUGAAUCUGCGGGUGGUCCUCGAUUUCAGAUUGCAAGAGGGCUGGUGUUGAGAUUGACUGUGGGAUUGUGAGAUAAAAGCCAUGAUGAGAGUCAUCAAGGAUGUGCCGAAAUUCGGGUUUUGAUUGGGGGGAGAGAAAAGGCUCAUCUGCCAUCUCAGAAAGCAGAAAACCCACACAACAGAAAAAGAAGCCUUUUACUUUUUUGCGUCUUGAAGAUCGUGGUGGUUGUUGAGAGGAAGUUGGCUUCAGGUUUAAACUUUCAAUAUUGUGACAUUGCUUUUAAGGAACACACUCUGCUUUCUCUUCAGUCAAAUAAAAAUUAAAAUUAAAAUAUUCACAUUGCACCUUAUAUACUAUAAUCCUUGUUUGGACGCAAUAUGGAUUAUGUUGCUUCAUUUAGUAAAAUGGUAUAAUUAGGUUCCAAUUAACAACAUUCUUACAUCCACUAUCACUAUUUUAUUCCUAUAAAUACUAAACCAUCCAUUCUUUGUUUACUGAUCUCAUUUCUCUUGCUUUUCUACUUCUUAUCCACUUUAGACUUAAAUAUCAAUAAUAAUAUUGUUUUGUGUAGACAAAUAAACCAUAUUCUUUUAAAAUAAAUCUAAAUAACUUCAGUUUUAUACCUCUUUGAUGAGUUAGUGCAAUAAUAUAGGAUUUUCUUUUCAUCAAUGUUAAAAUAGUUGUAAUUUCUCUAUUUGGUAUGUAAAAUUGCUAUUUAUAAUUCUUUUUCAACUCUUAAAUAAGAGGAUAAAACACGUUUAAAUACAUUUAAACUCUUAUCCUCUUCUAGUGACAACAAUACUCAUGUCAACCAAGUUAAGACUUAAUUGAUUGUAUGUAAAUUUGUUGAAGAAGUAAAACUAAUAAUUACUUUAUGAGUCUUGAUUUGAAUAAAGAAAUGAUUAAAUCUAUUAUCAAAUAGAUAUUUGACAUGGGCACGAACUAAGCUACCUUUGUCCCCUAUCUCUGUAUAGAAAAAAGUAUAUCUUUAUGAAAUAUAACUUUUGCCCAAAGGAAAAAAUUCCAAUAAGGAGUUAUUUUAUAAUAUUUUUUAAAUAUAUAUAUAUAUAUAUCAAAUAUAUUACUUUUUAUUAAAUUAAAUAAAAUUUAUUUUUUAAAAAAAUUUAAUAAAAUUAUUUAAUAAAACAUUUCAUCAAAUAAAAUAUUUUUACAAAAUAAAACGCAAAAAGAAUUUUAUUGAAAAAGAAUUGAAAGUUGGGAAUCAUUUAAAAAAAAUCAAAUGUAUUCCUUAAAAAUAAUGUUAGAAGUGCAGGAGAAAAAACAGAAUUGUAAUAUUAAUUUCUGAGUAAGGACCUAAAAAAAGGGGGGAAAAACUUUUAUAGUAGAAUUUACAAUGUGUAAAAACAUUUUAAAUGAUGUAAUAGGCAUCGAGAUUUAAUAAUAAAAAAAUAAAUUUUUAGUACCAAACUCGUUUGAUAUGGAUUUUUAUAACGUGAUCUCAUCUCUUAUUGUUAAUAUUGUAUAAAAAAUGUAUUAUAAUGUUAAUACCAAUGCUAAGGCAUUUAUAAUUUAUCAUCGUAUUAUUCAAUAUAAAAUUUAGUAAGUGUAAUUUGUCCUACUAUUAUAAAUUAAACCAAUUGAAAGCCACCUAACAUAACUUACUGUGCACGCGCUAUUGGGCAAACUUUAUAGUUUUCCAUCUGCCAAAUUGAACUUGAAAGCCAAGAUGAAGAUUAGUCUAGUUUUAAAUACAGAUAUCCAAUAUAAGGUUUUACAUAUAUAAGGACGGGUGUCUGUUAAAAGGGCAAUCAUCAUUUUCUUUGCCAUAUUCUUUACCAAUGGCGCUGUGUGUUAUGAGAUCAAGGCGAAGCCUAGUGACUCCAUCUCAGCAAACACCAUCUGGCAAGCUUGACUUGUCAUUCAUUGAUAAAGUGCCGGUUCUAAGAUGCUAUACCCGCACAUUGCAUGUAUACAAACAUGGCCCUGAAGCAUCAAAGGUCAUUAGGGAAGCCUUGUCCAAGGCCUUGGUGCCUUACUAUCCACUUGCUGGACGGCUAAAAGAGCCCGAUAACAAUCAGCUUCAGGUUGAAUGUUCGGGAGAAGGUGCCUGGUUCGUCGAGGCAUCAGCUGAUUCUAGCCUUCAUGCAUUCAAUUACUUCGACGAUGCUAAUUUUGACAUUCCUUAUGAUGAACUUCUUCCUGAUCAAGUUCCUAAAAGUGAAGGCAUGGAACCUCUUGUACAAAUGCAGGUACCAGAAUUUUGAAUUUAAACCAACAAUGAUAGUAAUGUGAUUAAGCCUAAUGCAGGCAUUGUGCAUGGGUUUUUCUUUUCAUUAGGCAUCGUGCAUGGGUUUUUCUUUUUCUUUGUCUCAGGUGACACAAUUUGCAUGCGGAGGUUUCGUCAUAGGGUUAAUAUUUUGCCACACCAUAUGCGAUGGCUUAGGAUCUGCACAGUUCCUAAACGCUGUAGGGGAGUUCGCGAGAGGCAUAGAGCAUCUAAGCGUUGAGCCGAUGUGGCAAAGGGACUUUUUUCCAACUCCAACACAAGAUGCAAAUGUUAUCCAAUUGGCAAACUUGCCAGUGCCACCACCCCCGAUGCCUGCCAAGCCGCUAGAGCAUGUGAGCAUUGAUAUUUCCAUGGAUGAAAUCAAUCAGCUAAAGAAACAAUUCCAUGAAUCGACGGGGCAAACUUGCUCUGCUUUCGAAAUCGUGGCUGCUAAUUUUUGGAGCCUUCGAACAAGAGCAAUAAACUUGGAGCCAGGUACUGAAGUCCGGCUUCUUUUCUUUGCAAAUUACCGUCAGCUAGUGGAGCCUCCUUUGCCUAAAGGCUUCUAUGGCAACUGUUUCUUCCCGAUAACAAUCACAGCUCCCUGCGACUUGCUUAAACAAGCAUCAGCAAUCGAAGUGAUUAAACUGAUACGAGAAGCCAAGACUAAGCUACCUUCUGAGUUUGGUAAGUUCAAGAAUGGAGAUUACUUGAGAAAUGGGAAGGACCCAUUUCUAGCACCUCUAGGGUACACCACUUUGUUUAUAUCGGAAUGGGGUAGGUUGGGGUUCAACCAGGUUGACUAUGGGUGGGGCCCUCCGGUCCACAUGGUUCCAAUUCCGGGUUCUAGCAUCAUCCCUGUUGGCAUCAUGGGAUCGUUGCCAUUGCCUAGAAAGGGUGUCCGCUUGAUGACAUGGUGUGUUGAUAAAGACCAUACCCAGCCCUUCGUUGAUCUGAUGACGAAACUAGUCUAACAAGUUACCAAUGCUUGAAGUCUUGAACUGCUAUUGCUUUACCCAACGCCAAUGUCUAAAAUAAAACAACACAGCGCCACCACAUGUUCAAAACAUUUGUGGUUUUUAUUUAUUCCGUUUAAUAACAUUGUAUUUGGUAUUAUCUUGAUCUUCAAAAUCAUCUUUUUAUUAAAAUUAUCUCAUUCACUUGUGGUCAUUUUCAAAUAAAAUUAUUAUUUCUCAAUAAGUAAAUGCCAUUGUGUUUAGUUUUAUUAGAAAGCAAUUUUAUUUUAUUUUUUUUUAUGUUUUGUUCAUAUUUGAGAUUUGAGAUUACCCUUCCCAUCAAUAUUAUUUUUUUAUAGUAAAAUAAUCAUAAUAUAAGAAUUACAUAAUUAACUAUAUAUAUAUUUUUAGAAAACUAUUGAUGGUUUAUUUACUUUAUAAUAAUAUAUAACUAAAUUAAGGCUAUGCUUGUUUCAUUAAAAAUGGUUUUCGAAAAAUAAUUUCUAGAAAAUGACUUAUCUUUUUGGAAUAGUUGAUAUUUUCUGGUGUUUGGAUGAAUCUGUGUAAAAUAUUUUCUAUUGUUUAGUAGAGUUCUUGCAAAUAUUUCAUAAAAUUUGUUUUCAAUGAAAAAAACAUACAUUUGAGAUUUUAUUAUCUUUUCAUUGUUUAAUUGAGUUUAUUUCAUAAAGCUUAUUUAUAUUUUAAUUAAUCAUGUUUUAGUUUUAUGUAAUCUUAAUAGUUUUAUUUAAUCUUAAUUUACUUAAUUAAGCUUAAUUGUUAAUUUCAUACAUUAGGGCAUAUAAAUUUAUGUUUAAUUAAGUUGAAAGUGGCAAAUAUAUCAUUUUUAAUAUUAUUUGGAUGAGUAGGUUAAAAAAAUGAUUUAAUUUGAUAAAAAUUGAAGUAAGUAAAUUAUAUGAUUAUGAAAUAUGAAAUUUUGGAAAGUUGAGCAUAACAUAGUAAAGUUUGAAAUUAUAGGGGUUAAAUUGUAAAGAUUUCAAAACUUGAGUUUUAGGACAAACUUACAUUAUUUGAGAAUUUAAAAUUUUGGAAAAUAGAAUAUGAAAGUUUAACUGUUCAAAACUCAAGGACUAAUUUUUGGAAAUUUUGACAAUUUUAGUUGUAAGGACUAAAUUAUUAAAUCUGAAAAUUUUAGAAAAUGGACUAUUUUGCAAAACUAUACAAAACGAGGUUUAGGAUUGAACUGUGGAAUAAGAAAAUCUGUUUUUGAGGAAUUAAAUUGUAGACUAGUAAAAAUUUGGAUUUUAAGGACUAAAUCAUAAAAAAUAUAAAAUUGAAAUACAAUGGGCUAUUUUAUUCGACAGUGAAGAGAGCUUCCCCUCUGUUGCUUUGAAAACUUCCCCUUUUUAUUUCUUCGACAAUGAAGACAUUGAACAAAAUCUUAUCUGCUUAGAAAAUGUCUUACGAAAAAAAAAAUUGGUAUUACAAUCUUCACUUAUCUAUUAUAUUGCUCAAUACAUUCAUGAAUAAUAUUACUAAUUUUGUCAGCUCUAAUAGUUACCAUGAGUAUUUACUAAUUAUUUUUUGGAAGAAAAAAAUAAUACCUACAAUCUACAAUAAAGUAGAAGGUAAAAAAAAAGGCUAAUCAGUUACUUCUUUCAUCACCCCAAACAAGCCAAUAUUAGCGCUAAGAGUGCGAAAAUGUAACUCGCUGUUUACAAAACUAUUCGGAGUUCUUAGAGCUCCUUGUAAAGCUUGUUGGAAAAUUCAUUGUCGAGCUUGAUUAAUUGCUCUUUGUUGUUCAAAAUAAAUGAUUUCAUUUUUGUAAUUUUUUAAUUCAAAAUCUUAUAAAUUGAAUUAACCAAAUUCAAUUUUUCUCGUUCUAUUUCAGAGAAAGCUUUGAUUUUACUCUCUUUUUAGAGAAUAAUUUCUUUUGAUCAUUUAUUUUUCACUAAACAAAUACUGUAAAAUAAUGAAAAUAUUUUACGAAAAAUAUUUUACAUGCAAAACAAAUAGACCAUGGGUAAAUUUUUUUAAAUAUAAAUUACGUUAAAAUAAAAAUAGUUUAUUAUAUAUAAAAGUAAAAUGUGUGCAAACUGCAAAAUCCGAGGGGUGCCAGCCAUACUUGAACUACUAUUUACUGGUGGCCGACUUAUACAUAAUAGUUGUCUGGACAGUUGGCCCAUUAGUGUAAGAUUUGUUAAUUUGAAUAAACUCGAAGCCCAAAACUGACUGAUUUAGGUCAUGAGUUGCAGUGUAGACAAUACCAUUGAAGGUGGCCCAUACCCAGAUGAUAAUCGAAUAUUGAUGGUAAUGAUUUGAUUUCCUCGAUAUUUUUUAAAGAUUAAAAGAAAAUAAUGUUUUAUCAUCAAAUCGAUCCCAUGUGCCUGGUGGGAAUCAAUGCUAUUCUCAACUUGAGAUUUGGAUUUUUUUGUCCAUUUUGCGGAUGGCAUUGGAAAAUUCCGCCCAAACUCACCGGAGACGGAUGAUAAUGUCAAAAUGCACCCAAACUCUUAUUUUUCUUGGUGGGUUAGUCGUUUUAAUGUCAUCGAGGGCGAGGCGACUACAAUGGGAGUUUUAUUAGGGAAUGAUUUUCUUCCAGAAUUCUUGUUUUACCACUUCAAUGCUCUCAUCAUGUAAGACUUUAAAAUUUCAUCCAUAUGUGAAGACAUGAAUUUUAAAUAAACGAAAAAGGAAAAUCAUCAAAAUUAAAUUAUUAAAACCUUAUUUCCCUCUCAAAAGACGUGAUUGAUCUAAGUAAUUGUAGUUAGUGGUAGAGUCAAGAAGUUGGUAACCGCUCGAUUUUCCUAAAUUAAAUUUUUUUUAUAAUUUAUAAAAUUUGAAAUUAAUAAUAAUAAAAUUGUAUUUUAUUUCUUCAAAAAUGAUAACAGAUUUAUCCAAACACUAAAAUAUACUAACUUUUCCAAAAAAAUAAAUUUUUUUAGUGAAAUUAUUUUUCAAAAACCAUGUCGAAUGAAAUAAGCGGAGCCUAAAUAUAAACAUCAUAUAGUAUAUUAAGCCAGCAACAAUAUUAGCACAUGCAACGAUUGCCUUUUGGUUUUCAUUCACAACGUGAGGAGCCUCUGACGUAUCCUUUGGUGUACUGCAGGCCCAUAUUAGGUGAGGAAAGUAGGUAAGGCAUUUAGGAACCAGUUGAUGUUUAUAUGAUGGAAUCCUUACCUAUGAUAACCCAACGCGAACAUUUUAUCCUACUAAAUAUUGCCAAUUACAUGUCGCCUUUCUGUUGCAACCGGCCAUAUGCCAUUUGGUACCUGCUUCAGCUCGUUUGUCUCCAUUUGAUUUCUAAUUUUUUUUAUCAAUUUAAUACUUAAAUUUAGUUUUAAUGUUUUAUUUGAUAAUUGAGUUUUUUUUUAAAUUGAUACUUAAUAUUUUUUUCUGCACAAUUAUUUAAAUUUAACUUCAGUAUUCAAUUUGAUACAUUAAUUUUUCUUUUAAAAUAUGAAAUUUAUUAAGAUAUAUCAUAAAAAAAUUAAAACACCAAGAGUAAAAUAUACACAACAAAACUAUAAUAUGUGCAUUAAAAUUUAUAUAAAUAAAUUUUAAUUGAGCCAUUAAUUACAAAAAAUCCGAAAGUAAACUAAAAUUAACGGGAAUAUGAUGCAUAUAAACGAACAUGCCAAAAUCUACAUGAAUCAAAUUGUUAAUGUAUAAAAAUUAUAAUAAUUUGAACACACAUGUAUGUAUGGCCCAGUCUUAAAUUGUUUUUUAAACUUUGAAAUAUUCUAAUUGAAUCUUGAAAGUAUCAAUAUCACAUCAAAUAUGCUCUUUUAUUAGUCUAGUCAUUAGUUCGGGUGUUAAAUGCUAAUUUAAAAUUGAUGUGGAGCAUAUUUAAAAUAUGUUGAUCAAAUUAUAAACAUAUAUGUAACUAUUGCAUGAAUAACUCAGAUUUAAUGUUUUUAAUUAGAAAAAAAAAUGACCCUCUUGAUACAAUUUAUUUUUCAUAUUUAACAUGUUUAUGUGAUAAGUACACACGUUUUAACAAUUUGUUCACCGUAUUUAAAAUAUACUCAAUGUCAAAUUCAAACUAAUUUCAAUGUCUAAUCUAACAUAAUGACAUGAUUGAUAUAAUAUUAAUAUUUUGAAAUGGGAGUGGACAAGUUAGAAGUGGAAGGCAAAGCAUUAACAAUUAUAAAGAAAAGUCGGUCCAUAGCCAUUGGCAAAUUAGAAAUAAGUGCAUACAUCAGAGACAUUCAUCACAAGAGGAUUUCAAAGCAUUCAUUUCAAACAUGUACAAAGAUCAACCAACAUAAUUGUUGUUCCAAUAGGGUCGGAAGCGUGUAAAUUAUUGUACUAAAAAAAUCACACAAAGUUCAAUUCCCAGGGAAGAGAGGUGGAUCACAUGGAUCUCUUAAAUACCAAGUCUUUCCUUAGACAGAAUAUCCCUUCUAUAGUAAUUUAAUAGCACAAUUAAAUACUACUAUUAUACCCUCAAAUAUUGAAAGAAAAAUAGGACAAGAAAGAACACAAGAGUUUUAACGAGGUUCGGUAAAUUAUACCUACGUCCUCGGGCACUAACACCAAAUGAUAACUUUACUAUCUUCAAAGUAUUACAAACAAAUAGAAUUCCUUAAGAAUUCUCAAAUGGGAGAAAAAGAAAACUAAGAGAGAAAGAUUGGUUGGGAUGAAUUGAAAUGAGAAAUGAGAAGGCCUAUUUAUAGUUGAGGUUCAAGGACCAAACAAUAAAUAGCCCAUUAUCUCAAGGACCAAAAAAAAAUUAUCCCUUGCCACUUUUCUAAAGUUGGUGGUUGUCAUUAUUGAUUGUCUCCCAUUAAUGUUAAUGGCAACCAUUAUUAAUUGUCUUCCAUUAAUGUUAACAAUCUCCACCUUGAAGAUUUGAUUAGGAUAAUCACAUCUUCACACACUUCCUUCAACUCCCCAAAUUCGAUAAAGCUAUCUUUUGUAGUGCCUACAAAUGCGCUCUCGAGCGCCAUACACCUGAAGGUGCUCAAAUUCUCAGGAUUUUAAUCAAGUUCAAACAAUGAUUAAACUUGAUUGUUAUUACCACCUUGGUCAUCAUAUCUGCGAGAUUAUCUGCUGUCGAAAUCUUCUGAAGUAGAAUUUUUCCUUUUUCAAAGACUUCCCGCACAAAGUGAUAUCUUACGUCGAUAUGCUUGGUUCUUGAAUGAUAGACUUGAUUUUUCGCUAAAUGAAUAGCGCUCUGACUGUCACAAUAUAAACUUAUGUGACUUUGAACAACUCCUAAGUCUUUCAACAAUCCAUUAAGCCAAAUAGCCUCCUUAACAGCUUCUGUAACCGCCAUAUAUUCUGCCUCUGUAGUAGAGACAGCUACUGUAGACUGUAAGGUAGACUUCCAACUUACUGGGGCUUUCGCAAGAGUAAACAGAUACCCCGUAGUUGAACGACGUUUAUCUAAAUCACCAGCAAAGUCGGAAUCAACAUAUCCAACUACAAACUGACCAAGUGCUUCAUCCUAUUCAAAAAUUAAACCAACAUCUACGGUUUUUCGAAGAUACCGUAGAAUCCAUUUCACAGCUUGCCAAUGUCCUUUUCCAGGAUCAUGCAUAUACCUGCUCACAACUCCAACAGCUCGUGAAAUGUCAGGCCUCGUACACACCAUCGCAUACAUCAAACUCCCAACUGCAUUAGCAUAUGGGACUUUCGCCAUAUAUUCUCUUUCUUCUUCAGUUUUCGGAGAUAAUUGAGCACUAAGUUUCAAAUGAGAAGCAAGUGGGGUACUUACAUGUUUUGUGUUUUCAUUUACACCAAAACAUUGUAAUACCUUUUUCAGAUAUUGCUUCUGAUUUAAACAGAGCUUGCCUCUCGGUCUAUCUCUACUUAUCUCCAUGCCGAGAAUCUUCUUGGCCUCACCUAGAUCUUUCAUCUCGAACUCUUGAUUCAACUGAGCCUUCAGCUUAUCUAUCUCAUUUUGGCUCUUCGAAGCGAUUAACAUAUCAUCAACAUACAAGAGUAGAUAAAUGAAAGAUCCGUCAUGCAGCUUCUGCAAAUAUACACAAUUGUCAUAUUUGCUUCUUGUGUACUUCUGCCUUCUCAUAAAGCUAUCAAAUCGUUUGUGCCACUGCCUCGGGGAUUGCUUCAAUCCAUAUAGCGAUUUGUUCAGCUUACAAACCCAAUUUCUACCACCAUCAUCUGUGUAUCCUUCGGGCUGAGUCAUAUAGAUCUCCUCUUCUAACUCUCCAUGCAAGAAAGCCGUCUUAACAUCAAGUUGAGCUAGCUCCAAAUUCAACUGUGCUACCAAGGCCAACAAAAUUCUAAUGGAGGAAUGCUUCACAACAGGGGAAAAUACAUCAUUGUAGUCAAUUCCCUCCUUCUGAGCGUAGCCUUUAGCUACCAAUCUUGCCUUGUAGCGAAUAUCCUUCUUGCUAGGAGAUCCAUCUUUCUUUGCGAAUACCCACUUGCAUCCGAUUGCCCUUUUACCUUUCGGUAAUUACUCUAACUCCCAAGUAUUGUUCUUCCGGAGAGACUGCAUUUCUUCAUCCAUGGCGCUUUUCCAUUUAUCACUUUCUAAGCUUUGCAUUGCUUCUUGAUAAGUGAUAGGAAUAUCAUCAACAACGGGAAGGGCGUAGGCCACCAUAUCAGUAAAUCGAGCAGGUUUACGAAUUUCUCUCCUUGGCCUUGCAACUGCAACUGGUUCUGGUGUACUUAGUGGUUCUUGGGUCAGAACCUCUUCAACCUCUAAUUCCUCCAUUGUGGCUGGAGAAUUAGACUUAUUAACUGGGCAAAUCCCCAUCUGCUCAAACUCCACCUGUUUUGGAGUACACUCCACCUGCUGUGGAGUAUUGCUCGUCUGAAUAUCUUUAUCUGCUACCUUUUUCAAUGUGGCAGAUUCAUCAAAGGUAACAUCUCUGCUACAGAUCAUUUUCUUUGUGCUUAAGCACCAAAGACGAAAUCCCUUCACUCCAGAAGUGAUUCCCAUAAAGAGAGCUUUCUUUGCCCUCGGAUCUAACUUUGACUCCUUCACAUGGUAAUAUGCAGUGGAUCCAAACACAUGUAAGGAAUCAUAAUCUGUAGCCGGUUUUCCAGACCAUACCUCCAUAGGAGUUUUUCUUUCUAAUGCAGAUGAUGGCAAACGAUUAACAAGAUGGCCAGCGUAUGUCACAGCCUCAGCCCAAAAUUACUUGCCCAACCCAGCAUUGGACAACAUACAUCGAACUUUCUCCAGCAAUGUUCGAUUCAUACGCUCUGCCAAUCCAUUCUGCUGUGGUGUAUCCCUAACUGUGAAGUGUCGAACAAUACCAUACUCUUGGCACACAUCGAAGAACGGAUCACUUUUAUAUUCCCUUCCAUUGUCCGUCCUAAGCCGCUUGAUUUUCUUGCCAGUCUGGUUUUUGAUCAUAGUUUUCCAUUUAAGAAAAACUCUAAGCACUUCAUCCUUAGUUCUCAUGGUAUACACCCAAACUCUUCUGGAAAAGUCAUCAACAAAAGUAACAAUGUAGUGUUUUCCUCCCAAUGAAGGUGUCUUGGAAGGCCCCCACACAUCUGAGUGAACAUAUUCCAAAAUACCUUUUGUAUUAUGGAUAGUAGUACCGAAUUUCACUCUCUUUUGCUUUCCCAGAACACAAUGCUCGCAAAAUUUUAAUUUGCAAGCCUUUGCACCUUUCAACAAUCCUUGCUUUGCCAGAAUUUGCAAAGAUUUUUCGCUGGCAUGUCCCAACUUCAUAUGCCACAACUGUAUUGAGUCCAAUUCUUUGUUGCCAGAAGCUGCAGCGACUGCUCCAAUAACUGUACUACCUUGGUAGUAAUACAAGUUAUUUUUCCUGAUGCCCUUCAAUAUCACAAGUGCGCCAGAUGUCACUUUCAAAACCCCAUCUCUCAUAGUAACAACUGAACCAUUGGAUUCCAGGGCUCCCAAUGAGAUGAGAUUUUUCUUCAAACUGGGCACGUACCGAACAUCAGUCAGAACUCUGGUUGAUCCAUCUUUAUUCUUUAAUUGGAUUGAACCUAUCCUAACAGUUUUACAGGCAUUGUCAUUGCCCAUAUAAACAACUCCUCCAUUUAGUUCUACUAAAUCAGAGAACCACUCCCGGUUAGGGGACAUAUGAUAGGUACAACCCGAAUCCAAUAUCCACUCAUCUGAAUGGAAUGACGAUGAUGAUGCAACCAGUGAUAGUUUAGAGUCACUGGUAUCAUGCUUUGCAACACAAGCAUCUACAGCAGCUUUUCCCUUAUUCUUCAACUUUGGACAAUUUUUCUUCCAGUGGCCUUUCUCAUGACAAAAAGCACAUUCAUCUUUCCCGAGUCUGGACUUUGACUUUGAUCUCCCCUUUUGAGUUUUCUUCCGAGUGUAUGAACGACCUCGGACUACUAAAGCUUUUGUAUCUCUGAUUGAGUUUUUCUGUUUGUCCUUCUUUCUCUGUUCAUAACUGUAUAAGGCCGCACAGACUUCGCUCAGAGAUAUAUCACUCCUGCCAUGAAGUAGAGUAGUUUGUAGGAACUCAAACUCCUCAGGAAGUGACCCCAACAGCAUCAAAGCCAAAUCUUCAUCUUUGAAUGUCUCAUCCAUAUUCAGCAAAUCAGUGACUAACUGAUUAAAUUUGGUGAUGUGAUCAUUCAUUGUGGUACUUGGGACGUAUGUGAAGCGAAACAGUCUUUUCUUCAAGUGGAGCUUAUUUUGACUGUUUUUCUUCAAAAAAAUUUCUUCAAGUGCCACCCACAACUUAUUUGCAGAAGUCUCCUUUGAAAAAGCAUACCUCUGCUCUCGAGAAAGGCAUGAUCGAAUUGUGCCACAUGCCAACCGAUUGAUCGCCUUCCAAUCUUUCUCCUGUACAUCAUCUGGUUUCUCUUCAUCAAUGGCAAUGUCUAGACCCUGCUGAAAAAGGGCAUCUAGAACCUCACUUUGCCACAUACCAAAAUGGCCCGUGCCAUCAAAGAUCUCCACGGCCAGUCUUGCAUUUGCAAUUGUCGGUCUUGUCCACAUGGACGAUGUUGAAGCUCCUACACCGACCGUUUUCUCCAUAAUCUUUCAAUAUACCUAAGAAAAUCUUUUCUGAUGUGGAAGAUCAGUUCAAACUGCAACCACAGAGUAUACUACGAUUAACCUUCGGCUCUUGAUACCACUUGUUGUUCCAAUAGGGUCGGAAGCGUGUAAAUUAUUGUACUAAAAAAAUCACACAAAGUUCAAUUCCCAGGGAAGAGAGGUGGAUCACAUGGAUCUCUUAAAUACCAAGUCUUUCCUUAGACAGAAUAUCCCUUCUAUAGUAAUUUAAUAGCAUAAUUAAAUACUACUAUUAUACCCUCAAAUAUUGAAAGAAAAAUAGGACAAGAAAGAACACAAAAGUUUUAACGAGGUUCGGUAAAUUAUACCUACGUCCUCGGGCACUAACACCAGAUGAUAACUUUACUAUCUUCAAAGUAUUACAAACAAAUAGAAUUCCUUAAGAAUUCUCAAAUGGGAGAAAAAGAAAACUAAGAGAGAAAGAUUGGUUGGGAUGAAUUGAAAUGAGAAAUGAGAAGGCCUAUUUAUAGUUGAGGUUCAAGGACCAAACAAUAAAUAGCCCAUUAUCUCAAGGACCAAAAAAAAUUAUCCCUUGCCACUUUUCCAAAGUUGGUGGUUGUCAUUAUUGAUUGUCUCCCAUUAAUGUUAAUGGCAACCAUUAUUAAUUGUCUUCCAUUAAUGUUAACAAUAAUUGCUCACAAACUAGCAUCAGAGAGUUUAAGAAGGAACAAGGAGAUUUACCUGGAAGUCGUGGUGCCGGAAUAUGCUCGGGUGUCGCUGGGAUCAUGACAUCAGAGAGAACGAGAACUCGAUUGAAGAGUGUUUUAGGGUUUCUGAAGAUCAAGGAGAACGAUAGAUAGUGAUCUUGGAGAAGACUAAUCGUGAGCCUCGGAGAACUGUAACUGACAAUAGAAGUAAUAUAAGCUUUCUAGAAAAGCUUGAAAUGGGUGACAGUUCAUUUUCAGAUUGCAUUGAGAUUUUUUUUGUUGUUUUUUUACUUUCCUUUUCCUAGAUAGAUGUUUCUGGAUUAAGGCCGUUAGUUUUCGGCCCAUUCUCUUUUGGUUUGCUUAGAUUUUGUUUUUGGAUUUAUUUAAUAUAGUUCAAUCUGAAUAUUUUUUAAUAUAUAUAUAUAUAUGUAUUCUGAAAAUUCAAUUAAAAUAUUUUAAAAUUUUAAAGAUUAGCUACAAUUAAUUAAUUAAAUUAACCUAAGGACAAAUCAUACUCUAUUAUUCCGAAACACCUUUCCUUAGUAGUACGCACAUGCCACCACCAUCUAUUCUAUGGCUAAUUAAAUAAUUAACAUAAAUAAAUUGUUAAAAAAUAUUAUUAUAUCGUCAUAGAAUUAGGCUAUCAAAUUCUCAAACUCUAGAUAGAGAAUUUUUUGGGAACAACCUUAAAAUUAGGGUAUAGAUUUGGUUUGAAAUUAAAAAUUUAAUAUUCUACCCCGUAUAUAUUAUGCUUAAGAAUAAAGGAAGGAAAUGUUCUUCGAAAAAAAAAAACCAAAGAGAGAAGGAAAUGUAUACGUAUGCGAAUAUCAUAUUUUAGAAGCAAUUUUAUAUAUAUUAAAUUACUUUAUUUGGUUGAAAUGUAAUAUUAUGUUGUUUGGGCUGUGGAAUGUAAAAUUAAUUUAAAAAGAUAUUUUAUUAAAUUAUUUUCCGUUAUAAAAAAAUAUAAAAAAAGUUAUUAAACUAUAUUUAAAACAAAAGUGAAAUAUGAAAAAAUAUAAAAAGUUAACACAAUAAUAAUAUAUAAAAGGUUUGACCCAAUCUUUGAGAAGGCCUGUAAAUUUUGUGUUGAUUUUUAAUAAUAUUCCUAGGACAGCCAAUAGGAUUACUCACGGUAAAGAAACGAGUUAUUGGAUUUUAAAGUUGAAACAUUCAUUCAUUAGCAAAAGAAGAUGAAAAAUGGAGUGUUAUUCGUACAAUUUUUCAUGGCAAUUACUCGGCAGAAAACAUCAAACAGAAAAUCCUUAUUACAGGACCAAGUUUACUGAGUUCCGUGUCUUCAACAAAUAUUUAUUCCAAUUUCAAAUGGACAACAACAAAGGGUUCACCACCUCAGUUUCUUAUGAAUCUAUUGCAUAAUGCUUUUUGAAUAAACUGCAAACAAUGUUUGAACAUUACACUAUAAAGUAAUGUUGAAUCACAUGCCGGCUUCAAGCCCUCCAUUCCAACAACAAUUAGGGAUAUGAGUUUUCCUUACCAACAAAUCCUACCCUUCAAGUUCGAGGCGGUUGGUUGGUAAAUGCCUAAUUACCUAUUGAAUUAUUCUCCUGUCCCACACCUAUCUGCUUCUUCUCAUAAUUUCUUCUGACUUGUUUUUAGUUUCUCACAUUAGAUUUCUAAUUUUAUACAAAGAUUUUCUUCAGAAAAUAUAAAGUCAGUUUUAAUCUAUUGGUUUCUCCAACAUCAUUUUGUCUGACUUGUUUUUUGUUUCUCACAUUAUAUUUUUAAAUAUAUCAUCAAUUCUUUUAUACAAUUAAACGGUAAAUUCACAAACAUAAAAUUUAACUCGAAUUUUUCAUCAAAAAGAGUUCAAUUUCAUUAACUAUGGAAAUUCAAUUGACCAAUUAUUCCCAUCUCUAUUUUUUUUCCUUAAAAGAUAAAAAUAAUUGCAAAAUAUAAAAAAAAUUAAAAAAAUGUUGAGAAAGAAGAUAUCAUUUCUUUUUACGUUUAUUUUUUUGUAUUUUCCUAUAAUUAAGAAUAAAAAAAUUAUUAAUUAGAUUCUUAACAUUAUUAAUUUUUUUUUCAAAAAUAAAAUAAAUGUGAUUGGGUUAGGUAUGGAUUAUUUUAACUUAAAUUAUGGUUGGGUUCUCUCUAUUUUGUUUAAUUUUAAGAAAAUAGUUCCUAUAUUUUUAUAGUAUCAUUAAUGAGUACAAAUAGUUAACACCCUUAGUUAUUUUGGUUUAAUUGUUGAAGCGAAAUUUUUUCUGAAAAAUACAGAUUUUAAUUUAUCAUAUAGAGAUAGAUAUUUUUGCAUGGUAGGUGUUUUAAAAAGAAAUUAUCUCCACAUUUUAUCAAAAUAGUUGUGGAUACCAAGCAUAUCUUAUGGAAAUGGAACUCUAACUUAGAAGUUUUCGAUCGGUAAGAGGUGUACAUUAGGGAUGUCCAUUGUCUCUUUAUUUAUUUGUCUUGUGUAUGGAAUGGCUCAGACAUACUAUUCUUUCCGAUGUCAACUCUGGGCGAUGGAUUCCUAUUUGUCUAUCUCGUUCAAGUCCCUCUCUUUCCCAUCUUUUCUUUGCUGACAACUUGAUUCUCUUUGGUCAAGUUGGGGAAAGUCAAGCUAGGGUUCUAAAAGAAGUGUUGGACAAUUUUUGUGACUAUUCUAGACACAGGAUUAAUGCUUAUAAAGCUAAUAUCUGUUUUUCAAAGGGAGUGAAUGAUGAGUUAGCAGGACGCGUAUGUCAUAUCCUCGGGUUUCAUAGAGUUCAAAAUCUUGGAAAAUAUUUGGGUGUUCCUCUCUUUCACGAUAGAGUGACUAACAAUUCUUUGCGUUUUAUCGUUGAUAACGUCCGUAGUAAAUUACAAAGUUGGGACACUAGGAAGUUGUCACUAGUCGGAAGGGCCACUUUGGCCCAGUCGGUUUUGAUGGCAAUUCCUAGCUAUUUUAUGCAAUCAAUGAUGAUUCCCAAAGGGCUCUGUAAUAUCCUGAUUUUGGGCCUAGUCGGAAUAGUGGUUUCGUGACCACAAAAUCCGAGAUAGAAAUAAUUAUUUUAUAAUUAUUUUGAGGUCUAUGAUAUGAUUGCAUGAUUGUGUGAAAAUUUCGUGAAGAAAUUUUAUGCAUAAAGUGCUUAAAUUGAAAUUAGGGAAUAACUCGAAUAAUUUGUAAAACUUGCAUUCUAGAAGUUUCUAGUAUGAAAUUGUUUUGAAAUAUUAAUUAGGAGGUCUUAAAUAGAAAAUUUACCAAUUUCUAAGUCUAUGGAGAAAAAUUGGACAUGGAUGGAAUUUUUGGAAAGUUUAGUAGUAAGGGCAUUUUGGUCAUUUAGGGGUAAAAUGAAUUAAAAUACAAAAUUAAAAGCCAAUUUUGCUCAUCUUCAACCCCAUGGCCGAAUACAGCAAGGAGAAACCAUGGCUAGGGUUUUUCAAGCUUCCAAGCUCGAUUGUAAGUCCGUUCUAGUCUCGUUUUUAAUGAUUUUUACAUUUUUGGAAUCCCAGUAAUUUGAUUUAACUUAUUCUAACAAUAAUUUAACCUAGGUUUUAUAUUUGGAAAAAUACCCAUAGGUGAAAUUUGUGUAUUUUGGUGUUUUAUGAUAGAAUAUAAGGUUUUAAAUUAUGUUAGACAACUUGUGCUACUCGGUUUUAAGUGAAAACGAGCAAAAGGGCUUAAUCGGUAAAAAUACCUAAUAGUCAUAAGUACAUGUUAGAGUGAGAAUUUGAUGUUGCCAUAGAAGGGAAAAAUGAUCAGCAUGUCAUAAAACAUAAGAAAAUAGGCUGAAGUUUAAUUUACGAGCUUUGGGUCAAAAGUGUAAAUAUGUAAAAGUUUAGGGGCAAAACUGUAAUUUUUCCAAAAUAUGAUUUUGGGUCAAUUUGAAUAAUGUGAGUCCUAAUUAGACUAUAUUUUAAAUGAUAGAGCAAGGAAAACUAAAAUUCGGGCUAAAAUAGGGAAAAUACCAAGUUAUGGACGAAAUGGUAAAAGUAGCAAUUUUCGCAUACGAGGUAAGUUCAUGUGUAAAUAAUGUAGCAUAAUUGUUAUUUUUAAGUUAUUGAUGUUAAUUAUAUGAUACGCUGAUUUUUAAUCGUGAAAUAUUAUGCUUUGUGGUUAAUGUUGAGUAAUAUGCAAAUUAUGUUUACUACUUGAUAAAUAUGAAUUGCUACCGAGUAUCGGUUCCGAUAUUCCAUGGAAGACGACAAAUGUGAGAUCGAGGGAAAAAGCCCGUUUGAACCUUAGGAAUAGAUUAGGAUACAAGUGACAUGUCACUAGGAUGUUUGAGCAUUCGAACUCGUUGAGUUGAGUCCGAGUUCACUUAUGGAUGCGAAUGUCUGAACUCGUUGAGUUGAGUCCGAGUUCGAGCGAUGUAACUAGGCAUCCGAGCUCGUUGAGUUGAGUCCGAGUUCACUUAUGGAUGCGAACACCCGAGCUCGUUGAGUUGAGUCCGAGUUCACUUAUGGGCGGGUUACAUGGUAGCUUGGCUACAUAUGUGGCACUUAUGUGCAAACUUUCCAUGUAUCCGAAUUAUAUUCCGAUGUGUUCAACGGGUAAAAUUCUACUCAAAUGGAGGAAUACUCGAGAUGAAAGGGACGUAUUGGUAAGUGUUGUGAAAUGAAUACUUUGAACAGGUAUGUACUUAACCCUCGGGUUGAAAACUCGAUAUAACAACAAUAUGGUAAGAUGAUAAAUGAAAAUGUGAUAUGAAUGUCUCGAUGAUGAUUUUGCAAAUGAUGUUUUAUGUUUGCUUAUAUAGUUAUGUUACUUGCUAUUUGCAUGUGAACUUACUAAGCAUUUAUGCUUACUCCCUCCUUUUCAUUCCUUGUAGUGUUGACAAGCCAGCUCGGAAAUCGGAAACGGUCAGAGGCACGCUCACACUAUCCGUAUACCAUCUUGGCAUAAUGGCUUGUAUAUUUUGAGUAUGACAUGUAUAGCAUUAUAAUCAUUUUGUGUAUAUGGUCUUAUGAUAUGGUUAUUGAGUGGUAUGGAAAUGCUUGGUAAUGAUUAGCCAUUGGAAUGGGUAAUCAUGAUCAUAUUUGGUGUUAUGUAUGCUAAAUUGCUAGCUAAUCCAUGGAAACCAUGAAAUAGGUAAAAUUUACCAUAAAAUAGAUUCAGACAGCAGCAGUGACGUGAGUUUGAAAAAUCACUAAAAAUAGUAUAGAUACAAUUAGAUGAUGAAUAAUAUAUGGAAUUGAAGAAUUAUGAGUCUAUUUUCAUAUGGAUGGAACAAAACAGGUAUAUGAGUUAUAUUUUAUGAGAUGUUUAAAUUUUUGUGAAACAGGCCCAGAGCAAUUUCUGGAUCCCCUGUUCUGACUUUGGAAAUUCACCAUAAAUUGUUCAAAGAUAAUUAGAAGUCAUAAUUUAUAUGUACAGAUUCCUUAUUGAGUCUAGUUUUAUUAGAAACAAACCUUGUAGUCAUUGAAAUUCUUUAUAGAGAGAUAUCUGAUUCGUAAUACACAGAUGUCAGAGCAGUCGAACCCUGAAACAGGGGAGACUUUAACUAAUAAAAUGUACUAAUUUUAUCAACCAAAAAUUCUAUAAAAAAAAUUAGUAAAUAUAUAUAUGAGUCUAGUUUCAGAAAAAAUUUACGGAAUUGGAUUUCGAGUUUCGUAACUCGAGAUAUGAAUUUUUAAGCGACUAUGACGCAGAUUGUUAGCUUGACUUAAAAUUUUAAAAAUAAAUUGUUUGAGCUGUUUAAGUAAUGAAUUAAGUCUAUUAACACCUCGUGUUCGACUCCGGCGACGGUCUCGGGUACGGGGCGUUACAGGCUCUAUGAGGAAAUAGAAUGAAUUGGUUAGACAAUUCAUCUGGGGGUCUUCUAAUGGUGAGAAGAAAUUGGCUUUGGUUAGUUGGGACAACAUUUGCCAACCUCGGGAUCAUGGUGGUCUAGGUUUUCGAAAGUUGAAAGAUCAUAACACCUCUUUUAUGAUGAAAUUGGGUUAUAGUAUUAUAACUGAUUCUAAGGCGCUUUGGGUUAUGGUUCUAAGGUCCAAAUACAAUAUUUCAAGUGGAUUUCCAGAAACAUUGUCGCGGGGAAGAGGUUCUUUCUUGUGGACAACCCUCACUAAAGCUUGGCCACUUAUUCGAGAGAAUUUGAUAUGGUCAGUAGGGGAUGGUACUAAAUAUUAGGUGUUUGUGUGACCCUUGGAUCUUGAAAGCGGGAUCGUUGGCUAAUAUUAUUCUUAGACAUUCCACUCUAGACAUGGAUUGUCUUUUGAGUGAUAUGGUGACAAAGGAUGACGAUUAGAACCUAGAUCUCUUUCGUCUUUGGCUCCCAAAGGAGGUGAUUUGGAAGAUUGUAGAGAUCCCUCUGCCUCAUCCGGAAGCAGGGCCUGAUAGGAUAAUUUUAGGAGGUAUCUCUACAGAUUCAUUUUCCCUAAAAAAAGCCUAUAAGAAGCUCCAAAAAAGGUUAUGGAAUCCAAAAGACCGAUGUGGCGCAUCCCCUAAAAAUUUUAAGGGCCCUGUGACAGCCCUAAAUUGACCCUAGUCGGGAAAUGGUUUCGGGACCACAAAACCGAGUCAUAAAAAUAAUUAACCGUUAUUUUCUAUGCUUAUUGUGCGUGAACAUGCAUGUGUGAAAGUUCCAAUCUUUAAUUUAUUCAUUUGAAUGUGAAUUUAUUUAAUAGGACUUAUAUAAGACAUUUUUAAAAUGUGAUAGGUUAAUGUGUAAGGGUCUAUUAAUGCAUGUUAUAAAAGUAUGGACUUGCAUGUCAAAUUGUCCAUUUUAGUUAGUGGCCGGCCAUGUUGUUAAUUAUUAUAUAACAUAGAUAUAUUUAUUUCUAUUAUAUGGUUUUAUAAUAUAGAAUAAGGUUAUUAAAGAUAGAAAAGGGGUGAAGAAAAAAAAAGAAUUCAUCUUUACUUCCUUCUAGCCGAAAAUAAGAGAGCAAAAGAGGAAAUAGCUUAAGUCUUUCGGUCACCUUUGAGCUGGAAAUUAAGGUAAGAAAUUCAAGUUAGUUUUUUUAAAUCUUAGCAUAGUUUAAGCUAGAUCCUAAGUUCCUUACUUAGCCCAUGCCAAAAUUUUGAAGUUGAUGGUGAUAUGAACAUUCGGCUAUGGAAGAUGUUAAAGAGAAUGGUUGUAAUGUUAUAUAUAUUUUGAUAGUAUAUUAGAUGGUUUGAGAUUUGAGCUAGUUACAUGUGCUAUUAUGAAGAUUUAUGGAUGUUUUAGAAUCGGCCUAAGUGUUUUAGUCAUUAAUAUAUAUAUUGCCGAAUGGAUGCUUAAGGAAUUGGUUAAGUACAUUGUUGUUAAAGCUUGUUGUUUUUGUAUAAUUGUUGCCUAGCUACUAAAUGAACUUAGGGUAUUAUAGAUAAGUUUAAGAGUGGCAUAAUUGAAAUGAAGUUUCCUUGUGCCGAAUGUGGUUUUAGUGCAUGAAUUAGGAGUUUAAUUUCAUUCGGUAACUCAUACCAAAUUGGGAGAUAGUAUUAAACAUUAGUAUUAUUUGUUAAAAAAAAAUUGAAGUGAGCUUUGAAUGGUUGUUUUGCUUAUAAUGGCUGAAUGUGAACUUAAGUUUUGAAUUACAAUUGAAGCUUGUUAGUCAGUUGAUGAUGUCCUUUGAUAGCCCUUUUGAUAUUCGGCCAUUGUUAAUGAAUUUUGAAUUAGUUAUAAAUUUCUAUGUUUUAAUUAGCAAAUUUAAUUAUUGAAGGUUGAGCUAAUUAUAUAUGAUGAUAUGCUCUAAACUCAAAUGGUAAGUUCUUAAGUGUUUGGACUUGGAAAUUUAAGAGCAAAUUGUAAUAAUCUGCUUAGGACAGCAGCAGUAGCGUGAUUUUUGAAAAUCACCAUAAAUUGUUGGAGUGGAAUUAGAGACUGAAUAAAAUAUGUAAUCAAAGCUCAAUGAGUCUAGUUUCUUAUAAAAUAAACAGUGAAAGCAAAGGAAUUUUCUAUAGAGAGAUAUUUAAAGUUGUGUGUGACAGUGUCAGAAUGAAUCCGUGAUCCCUUGUUCUGUUUUUAGAAAAUCAUUAUAAAUAGUACAAAAAUUUUUAUAAGAUAAAAUUUAUAUUCUUAGACUCCUUAAUGAGUCUAGUUUCAAAUUAAAUAAACAAGAACAUAUUUUGAAAUCUGUACAAUGAGAAAUUUGAUUCGUAGUGAAGAGUGGUCAGUAUAGUCAAACAGUGAAAUAGGGGAAACUUUAAGAAAAUUCUGGUCUUGAUUGGCCAAACCAAAAAACCUUAAAAUUUUAUGGAUAAAAGGUAAAUGAGUCUAUUUUCAAGAAAAAUUUAUGGAAACUGAUUUGGAGUUUCGUACCUCCGGUUAUAAAUAAUUUAAUGACUGUUGCUCAGGAAGUCAGCUUAUAGUGAAAUUGUGAUUAUAUUGUAAACAUUGAUUCUUAUAAGCUUACUAUAAUCUGUAUGUGUGAAAUUCGAAUAUAUAUGUAUUAUAUUCUGAAAAUGAUAUUUGAAUAGUCGAUUAAUGAUUAGUUUAAAAUUUGUUGAAUUAAAGCUCAAGAGCAUAGGGGGGCAACUUCGAAUAAGGGAGAAGAGAAAGUAACCGAGUAACCAUUUCGCAACCGUUCAAAUAUAUCCGAGGUAAGUUUUAAGUAGUUUCCUUUAGUAUAUAAUUGACGAUGCCACUAUAAGGGUAUAGUAGGUAAAUUGUGAUCUUUGGCUUGCACUUAAAUUAAGAUGUAUAAUAGAUAAUGCAUGUAUAUGACUUAUAGUUUGAUGGCCACUUUGAAUUUAAGAUUAAAUGAUGAAUAGAAUGAGUGAUAUGAGAUAUAACCACUGAGCUGAAAUGUGAAUGAUGAUGUGCGUAUCGAGUUUAUAUUCGAAUGUAAUAUACGACUAUUAAGUGAUAAGGUGACUGUCAUGUGUUAUGACCAAAUGUGUAUGAGAUUGAAAAUAUCCGGACAUGAGGUCUGCAGGCUAUAUGCUGGAAAAAUAUCCGGACAUGAGAUCCGCAGGCUAUAUGCUAGGAAUAUAUCCGGACUUGAGGUCCGCAGGCUACGUGCUGGAAAAAUAUCCGGGUUAAAGACCCGCAGGCUUACGCUAGUAAUGUAUUCCGAGCUCUAAGAUUUGACAGAACCGAUGCCAGUAAGUUAAAUAAGAUUUCGACUUCGAAUAUCAGUGGUAAACAUCGUUGCGUAAGUAUUAUAUGUUUUACAUGUUAAGGUUCGUGUUAUGUGCUUAUAGUUGAAUUGAUUUUUUUUAGUGAUUUAAUAGUAUCAAGGCACGAAAUAUAUAUAUGUGCGUGAAUGAAUUCGGUAUUUGAGGAUAAGACAAUAAUAUAAUUGGUUAAUGUAAGUCACCAUAUGAAAGAAUGUGAUUAAAGGUAUUAGUAUAAUCUAUGUAAAUAGUGAAAUAUUUGCAAGAAGUCUUGUGUAUACAUACAUACAUAUCCGGUCAAGCGGUUUGUAACUAAUGUACUGAUGUAUAUUUGGUCAAGUGAAUUACAAUUAGAAUACAAGUUUUGUGAUACUCAAUGUUCAAUUUUUAUGAUGAGCAUUAAUAGUAUGAAUUACUUAAAACUUACUAAGCCUCGAAAGCUUACUCUGUUUCUUAUUUCUUUGUUUUAUAGAUUGUUGAUUUUGGCUAUUGACUCGGGGAUCGUCAGCAGUUCUUCAUACUAUCGAUCUUUUUGGUACAGUUAUAUUUUGGACUCGAUAUAGCAUGUAUAGGUUGGACUGUUGACAAAGAAAAAAAACAAAAAAAAAUAUGUUUUAAAAUUGUAAUUAUCUUGGCCGUAUGAAAAUGGCACUUAUGACUUAUAAAUAUGUAUGUAUUCAGUUCGAUUUAUACUUGUGUCGGUAGAUUAUGUGAUUGAAAUUAAAUGUUUAGCUUGGUAAUACCUCAUAGCCUAUACCGGCGAUCGGAUACGGGCUAGGGGUGUUACAGGCCCCAACAGGUUAGGUUCUUUAUUUGGCUUGCUUUCAAUCAACGCCUGCUUACCAAGAGGGAACUCGCACGAUGAAGACUAGGGCAUGAUUCAGUAUGUGACGUUUGUGGUCAUGGUUCAGAGGAUGUGUGUAAUACCCCCUACCCAUAUUCAUUACCGGAGUAGGAUACGAGGUAUUACCGGAGUUUACGAUUUUUUUUAUAUUCAAUAUAGCCCCUUUAUAAAUAUCUAACCUUCCCUGCAACAUUAAAUCGAGACCAAUCCACUUCAACCAAACCAAUUCAACAUAUUUUCAAGAUAAAUUCAUGCAUAUUUAUAAGAUAACGUCAUCACAUACCCAAAACUAGGUUUGUUAACCAUACUAAUGGCUAACUUUAUAUUCAUUUCAUGUUAACAUUUACUUUAUUAGCUUAUACAUGCCAUUGAUUUCCAAAAUAAAGUUUCUUUAUAUACCGAAAUCCUGAGGUUGAUAGUGUGAUGUGUCUCCGACCAAAUCCGACCUCCAAGCUCUUAACACUACAAAACAGGGAAAAAGGAAACGGGGUAAGCACUUCGUGCUUAGUAAACUCAUGUAACAAAAAUUAUACUUACCUAAUAUUUUCAAUACAAUACAAUAAAUAUUCAUAUAUCCAUUCAAUGCAGUAUUACCCUAAUAUGCACAAACUCAACAUUCAAGUUAGUAUAAUAAUUUCCAUGUACCAAUAAUAUAUACCAUCAUUGAUGAGCUCAUCAAUAUCAUAAUUUCCAUUUCCUUGUUAUUUUUCCAUAUUUAUCCCGUUGAAUUUAUCGGAAUUUCGAUGGAUUUUCAGAGGUACACUUUUAGUGUACAAUUCCGGGUCCGUCAAUUCAUAUUCAUGUGCGCACAUUUCCAUUUCAGAGAGCACACUCCCGCGAACCUUAACCUUGCAGCGGGAUUACCAGUCCAGGCUAAAUCCCCUGCAACGACAAUUACUCUAAUGAUCUUGGAUCUGAAUUACUAGUCCAGGCUAAAUUCAGACCCUAAUUCGGAUUACCCGUACGGGCUAAAUCCAUUUUACACAUAUUCUUCGGGAGGGCUAUAUCAGGAUAGGAUCACCCGUCCGGGCUAGAUCCUUUUUACCGUCAAUUCCUUUUCAGAGAUCCAUCGAAUUUUCCUUUCAUUCAAACGGGAUUUCUUCCCAUUUUAUCAAAUAUAUCAAUGUUUCAUUAAUUUUCAUACAAUGAACAUUCAAAUCAUAUUCACAUCAAUAACAUACAAUCUCAAGCAAUUUAAGAAUAUAAUUCAAGUUGCACGAACUUACCUUGAUACUUGUUUGUAAACAAAAAAAAAUCUACUAAUCCCGAACUUUUUCCUUUCCUCGAUCUAGCUUCGUAUUUGAAUCUUCUGGAUCUAAAUAAAUAAAUUUAAUUAUCAAUUUAAUACAUUUCAUGUUCAUAUGCAACAUUCUCUAUAAUUCAACUAUUAUUAUUUAUAGUUUAUUCAAAGCUAUCUAUUUGAGUCAUAGUCACUAAUUAUUUAUAACUCGAUCUACGGAACUCCAAAUUAAGAUCCGUUAGUUUUCCCUGAAACUAGACUCAUAUAUAUUCUUACCAUAAAAUUUUUAGAAUUUUUAGUUUAGCCAAUAAGUACAGUUUAUUCUUUAAAGUCACCCCUGUUCUGCUGUCUGACAGUUCUGACCCUUCUUCACUAAAAAUUAAUUAUCUCUUCAUACAGGAUUCAAAUGAUGUUCUUGUUUGUUUCUAUUAAAAAUAGACUCAUUAAGGAUUUUAUGCAUAUAAAUUUGAGCCCCUAAUUAUUUUUAUUCAAUUUUUUUUUAUUUUUCAAAUUCAGAACAGGGGAACCCGAAUUCAUUCUGAUCUUGUCUCACAAAAUUCAUUAUAUCUCAAAAUUUACAAAUCCAUUGCUUACACUAUUUCUUCUAUGAGAAACUAGACUCAAUAAGCUUUAAUUCCAUAUUUUGUUCAUCUUCUAAUUCGAUUUAUAAAAUUUAUGGUGAUUUUUCAAAGUUAGUCUACUGCUGCUGUCCAAACUGUUUUUGUGCAAGCUGUUUAUUACCAUUUUUCCCCUAAGCUUUUAAUAAAUGAUAAUUUCGUCCCUACUCAAUUAGCCUCUCAAUUGAGCUGAUUUUUCUCAAUUAAAAUUUUAUUAUAUCACCUUAAACUAGUUUACAACCUUUAGGAAUCAUAAUUUCAGCAAUAGACUUUAAUUCCAAGCAUUUUCACAAUUAGGUCCUAAAAAUCAAUUUCUAUUGAAAUUACCUAAUAAAAUCAUCUCAUAAACAAAUUAAAGCUUUAAUUUCAUUAUAUUUCAUCAUAAAAUUACAAAAAUCAACCAUGGUGACUUUCAAUUUCAUACAUGAAAUCAAAAACUAAUGAAUUUAAUAGUAGGACCUAGUUGUAAAAGUCUUAGAAACAUAAAAAUUACAAGAUAAAGGCAAGGAUUAACUCACUUGGUGAAAAAGUAUGAAAUAGCAGCUUAUAUAACCCUCCUAUGGCGUUUUUAGCUGCUGGAAUUGAAGAGAAAUGAAGAGAAAUUUAGAUAUUUCCUAUUUAGUCCUAGUUUUAUUUAGUUAAUUUUGCAAUAUUCCAAUUUUGCCCUUAAUUUAUCAAUUUUCCUGCUGAUUUCAUGCCCUUUCUGUCCAGCCAUAAUAAAUUUUGGGUCUAAUUUCCUUUUAAAACCUUUAUCAUUAGACUCUUAAGCUAUUUAAUCAUUCUAGCAACUUUUACACCUAUUACAAUUUAGUCCUUUUCAUUUAAUUGACUACCCAAACAUUAAAAUUUCUUACGAAAUUUUAAUACCACAUUACUAACAUUUCAUAAAUAUUUAUAAAAUUAUUUUAGACUCGGUUUUACGAGAUAGAGGUCUCGAUACCUUGUUUUUACCCAAUUUCUUUAAUAAUUUCUUUUUCUAACUAACCACUAAAUCGGUAAAAUUUUUUCUAUCAAUAUUUUCAUAUGAUUUUCCUAUCAUAUCAAUUUUCAUGCAAAAAUAUUGAAAUAAAUUUCUCUUUAAAUUGGAUUUGUGGUUACGAAACCACUAUUACGAUAACCUUGAAUUUAGGCCAUUACAAUGUGCUUCAUGUUAUUAGGGAUUGUCCUGCAACGAGAAAUAUUUAGGAUCAUCUAAUUCCAGUCGAAUGGUAUUCUAUGUUCUAUGCAGGAAAUUUAUAUGAGUGGCUUGUGUUAAACUUGGAAAAUUAGCAUGGUUGGUGCUUCGGAGAUGUAGAUUGGCAAUAUCUAUUUGGGAUCAUCGCUUGGCAUAUUUAGAAGAAUCACAAUCUUUUCCUUUUCCAGGGUGCUCCAUGGAGUGAUAAUGAAACUAUUAAGGUGACGUAUAGUUGGGCAAAACAAUACGUCUCUUCUACAAGGGGCAUGUCAACUGAAACACGAUGUAAGUUUUCAUCUUCAUAUUUAACUAACGAUUGGGUCACAUUGAGUAAAGAUGGAUCUAUCUAGAAAGAAGUUGGUUUUGCGGCGGUAGGGGGAAUAGUGCAAGAUCAAGGUGGAACGUGGAUUCUUGGAUUUAAUAGAUAUUUGGGAAAUUUUUUUGUUUUUUAUGCUGAGUCGUGGGGUAUUUUGGAUGGUCUGAUUAUUUUAAGUGAACGGGGCUAUGACAAUGUGUUAAUUCAAUCUGACUAUCUUGAGCCGGUUACGACUAUUCAAGAGAGGUCUUCAGAAGGAUCCAAUUAUACUUUGGUUAGGAGAAUUCAUUAGAUGUUGUCAUGGUUCAAACAGUGGAGCUUUAGACACAUUUCUAGCAAGGAAAAUCAGGAUGCUGAUCAUAUGGUCAAUCUAGUCCAACAUAGAACUAAAGAUUUACGUUUGUUUGAGAUCUCCUAGUUUGAGGGAUUGGUCUGGUUUUUGUUAUAAGUUUAUUUAUUUUACUUUUUCACCAAAAAAAAAAGUUGUGGAUAAUAAAUAUUUAAACUAAUUAAUAUCAUUACAAAAAUAGAUAAUUAAAUUAUGUUAAAUUAAAAUAUAAAGAUUAAAUCAAAAUAUGAUGAUAGUAUAGAUUAAGUUGCUCCAUUAUAGUGCAGCAUGAAAAAGGACAACGGAAAAGAGUUAGGCGGGUUUAGACUUCUUGCUUUUCUUUUUGUUUUCUCUCUUGUGAUCCACGUCCGUUACAUAAAUUAUUUCAAAUUCCUUUUCAUCAAAUGUGAUUACACCUCUUUCGUCAAAAGUUUGAAAAUCCUCUUUGUAAUGUUAAAUAAGCCCUUAAAAUCUACCUUUUUUUAUUAUUAUUUACGUUUUUUCAGACUUUUCUUUUUGGUAUAAUAUUAUCUAAUAAUUAUGUGUUAGAUAUCACAUUCUUACUUAAUCACAUUAAUUUUUUAAAUAAAAUUGAUAUUUUUAUUUUUAAAAAAAAGGCAAGUUUGUAUGUUCUUAUAUGAGUUUUUUUUAAUAUAUCUUUUAAUAGAAACUUUUUAAUCGUCGGUAUUACUAGGAUAUGUUUUAAUUAAUCGAUCAACUAUCAUAUAUUAAUUUCUCUAAACACAUAUUAGAAUUUGAUAGUCCAAAUUUACCGGCAUUAUUCUUUUAUCCUUCAAAUCAGAGUCAUUGGCGGGACUUCCUUUUAAGAUAUCCUCAAGCAUAUCAGUUACAACCUUGCUAUCACAUUCAAUUAUUGUUUUAUAAUAGCUCCUCAGUCGAACUCAAAGUAAUAAUUGCCCACAAUUCAGCGGUAAGCACAGAACUUGUGUUGCUGGUAAUCUGCUGGAAAAUAAUUGCCCAUUCUCAUCAUCAAAUUGCCGAAGGGAAUCACAAGAAAUAGGAAACAAACCAAGGCUAAAACCAACAUGAUUUGGUAGCCUAAAUCAUCAUCUCUUUUGAAAUGACCAUAUCUUCUGUGAUAUCGCUUCAUUUUCUAUACAAUAUAGUACUAUCCUGGACCACCUUUCUUUUUUCAUAAAAAGAUUAAUAAUAAGAAGAAGAAGAAAAAAUAAUAAUAAUAACGUCGAGUGUUAUUCCCUAAUGCCUAUAUUAUUACUUUGAAGAACCUCUUCAGAGUGGCUGGUAAUCUGCUGGAAAAUAAUUUUGUUCCUAUUCUUCCACAAAAACCAACAAGCGACAGCAAACGUUACACCCUAAUCUGCUAUCCUCGAAUUCAAAGUAAGUGAGAAAAAUGAUAUAAUUUAGAGCUUAAUUUUAUAAUUAAGGCAAUAAUUAUUCAAAGUAAAAUUUAGAUGGGAUUCCAAAUAAAAGAAAUUAACUCCUCAAUUAGCACUUGCUUGAAGUCAGAUCUCUGGACACACCCUUCGUCACACCUUGGAUUAAAAUUCAGGUGUUAAAAGUUUGUAAAUAUAGGCAUUAGGGAAUAACACUCGACGUUAUUAUUUUUAUUUUCUUCUUCUUAUUAUUAUUAAUCUUGUUAUGAAAAAAGAAAGGUGGUCCAGGAUAGUACUAUAUUGUAUAGAAAACGAAGCGAUAUCCCAGUAGAUAUGGUCAUUUCAAAAGAGAGGAUGAUUUAGGCUACCAAAUCAUGUUGAUUUUAGCCUUGGUUUGUUUCCUAUUUCUUGUGAUUCCCUUCGGCAAUUUGAUGAUGAGAAUGGUUGUCUUUUUCAGUGGCAAGUCACUACUCCAAGCCAUGCCAAGCCAGCAAUCUUAUAUUUUAUGCCGUUACACUAUUGUUUGGAGACAAGGAAUAAAACAAUCGGGAUACGGUUGAUGAAAGUGAAAACCCCAGAAACUUUUGACUAGGUUUGCAACACUUCAGCCCAGGGUUUGAUUGAAUAACGGUGAAUGAUACUUUUUUACAUGGAAAAAAAGGCUUGCUGGUCAAGGCAAAUACUCACCAGUCACCAAAGAGCAUAUAAAUAUGCUUUUAAACAGAGAGAGGCUAGCCUUUAACAAAGUUUGGAGUAAGUUGAAACUCCAAAUCCCUGAGAGUAUUUCAUUUCGAACUUUUAUCAAGUAAAUGUUUCUCAAUCUCUCUUUUCAUUAUUCUGUUCUGUUCUUAUCUUUGUCUUUUUCCUUGGUGACUUGGGAGGGUAUCUCAAGUUUGGUUUAUGCUCAAAUGAUGCCUUUAUAGAAAAAUUUUCUUCACUUUCUGUUGCACUGCUGAUAAAGCAUAACUGCAGCUUUUGCAAAUUUGUUUUUUUUUUUUUCCUUUAGACGGGUGCUUGGGAGUCAUUGUUGCAGAGAAAUUUCCUGUUAAUAAUAGGGGAACAAUCUUGCUUAAAUUAAUUGGCUUAAAUUAAUUGAUUUGUUUGCAGCAGCCACAACAUAAUAAAUCCUAUAGAUUCUGAAGUUGUUGAGUAUCAAAGUAAUUGCUUGGGAGCCACUCAAUGGCCUCCGAGAAUGGUUUUAAUGGUGAGAAAGUUACCGACUUGCAUGAAGCCGGUACAUCGAAAAGCCAGGAAGAGUCACAGAAAGUCCCUGGCGAUAAUGGAGAAAAUCAAGAUCCUGAAAGCAGCAAAGGAGAUGAGAAAACUAACACGGUUCCAUUUUACAAGCUGUUUGCAUUUGCUGAUUCUACGGAUAUCUUAUUAAUGAUCGUCGGCACAACCGCUGCAACUGGGAAUGGUCUAUCUAUGCCCCUUAUGACAAUCCUGUUUGGGAAUCUCAUUGAUUCUUUUGGAACAAACCAGAGUAAUGGCAACGUGGUUGAAGCUGUCUCCAAGGUAUUUCUGCAUGUAGCACGAACAUAGCUGGUGUGUCUUUUUACUUUUAGUUUAUUGUUUUGUUUAAACGUCUCACAUGGGGAUUAUUAACUGAAUUCUUAAAACCAUAUCUAAGGUUUCUGUGAGAUUUGUCUACCUGGCGAUGGGGGCUGCGGCGGCUGCGUUUCUCCGUAAGAAAAUCUCUAAUUUAAAUCAUAUUGCCUGAUGUUUAAUGUGGCUUCAGACUCAUGCUGAAAAGCUUGGAUAUUGUUAUUUUUUUCAGAGGUGAGUUGCUGGAUGAUCACAGGUGAGAGACAAGCUGCACGAAUACGGGGCCUGUACUUGAAAACCAUAUUGAGGCAAGACGUUGCUUUCUUUGAUGUGGAAACAAACACAGGGGAAGUUAUUGGAAGAAUGUCGGGGGACACAGUUCUCAUACAGGACGCCAUGGGCGAAAAGGUAUACGACUAUACUAUCCUAGUCUUGACUAGGAUGUUUAGAAUCUUCGUUGAGUAAGAUGUUUUCAUUGGAAUCAUAAUACACAUGUAACCAUGGAAUAUUCACCUCUUUUUUGCAGGUAGGGAAGUUUUCACAAUUGAUAUCCACGUUCAUUGGAGGCUUUGUUAUAGCAUUUGUCAAAGGAUGGCUUCUUACUCUCGUAAUGUUAUCUGCUAUCCCUCUACUUGUAAUAUCUGGUGGAACCAUAGCCGUUAUAGUAUCCAAGAUGGCAUCCCGGGGACAAAAUGCUUAUGCUAAAGCUGCCACUGUAGUUGAACAGACAAUUGGUUCGAUCCGAACUGUAAGUUCUAUAUUAAAAAUAGUCGCAGCUAAGUUAUCAAUUUUUGCCCCUAUUUUUUGGUGAAAAUAUAUGGCCAAUCAUUGACUUGAUUCCAGGUUGCGUCGUUUACUGGUGAGAAGCAAGCAAUAAACAAUUACAAUAAGUCACUUGUUACUGCUUAUAGAUCAGGCGUUCAUGAAGGCACCGCUGCUGGAGUAGGUAUUGGCUUAGUUAUGCUAGUUAUAUUCUGCAGUUAUGCUUUGGCUGUCUGGUUUGGUGGGAAGAUGAUUUUGGAGAAAGGGUACACUGGUGGUGAAGUACUUAAUGUGAUCAUGGCUGUAUUGACAGGUUCCAUGUGAGUUUAAAUUUUGAAUUUUGUCCAUCUUCUACUUUAUUAAGCGUGCUUCAUAGGCUAAAUUCCUUGGUACCUACGGACGUUUCAGGUCUCUGGGGCAAGCAUCUCCAUGCAUGACUGCGUUUGCGGCUGGUCAAGCUGCAGCGUUUAAGAUGUUUGAGACCAUCAAAAGGAAGCCAGAGAUUGAUUCCUAUGACACGAGUGGAAAAGUGUUGGAGGAUAUUCGUGGGGAUGUAGAACUGAGGGAUGUUUAUUUCAGUUACCCUGCCAGACCAGAGGAGCAAGUUUUCAGUGGAUUCUCUCUUUCUAUUCCAAGUGGCACAACAGUAGCUUUGGUUGGACAAAGUGGAAGUGGGAAAUCAACUGCAAUCAGCCUGAUCGAGAGAUUUUAUGAUCCACAAGCCGGUGAGGUUCUUAUCGAUGGCAUUAAUCUCAAGGAGUUCCAGCUUAGAUGGAUAAGGGGAAAGAUUGGUCUUGUUAGCCAGGAACCAGUGUUGUUUACGUCAAGCAUAAGGGAUAAUAUCGCAUAUGGUAAAGAAGAUGCAACCACGGAAGAGAUAAGAGCAGCAGCUGAACUUGCAAAUGCUGCUAACUUCAUUGAUAAACUACCUCAGGUUUUAGUUUAUUGUCCGAUUAAUUUUAUUUUAUAUAUCAACUUCAAUAUAUGAAUUGCACAUUUUAAUUUACUUUUGAAACUAUGGACUCCAUGCAUAGGGACUAGAUACCAUGGUUGGAGAGCAUGGAACUCAGCUUUCUGGUGGACAAAAGCAGAGAGUGGCAAUUGCAAGAGCAAUCUUGAAAGACCCACGGAUUUUGCUUUUAGACGAAGCUACAAGUGCACUCGACGCAGAAUCUGAAAGAGUUGUUCAAGAGGCAUUGGACAGGAUAAUGGGCAAUAGGACUACUGUCAUUGUUGCUCAUCGUUUAAGUACUGUGAGAAAUGCAGAUUCGAUUGCUGUAAUUCAUAAAGGAAAGAUGGUUGAAAAAGGUAGUUAUAAUCAUAUAUUUCUUGAACUUCAUCUUAAUUGUAAGUGGAGCUAUCUAACAGACGCAUGUUAUCAAGGGGAUACAUUUUUAUUCCACUAACUAAACCUGGAUUUGCCUGCAUGUUGGUGUAUUUUCAGACAUUUUGCGUAUUUCCAUUGCAUAUCUUAAAUAUUAAGGAAUAUGUUUGUAACACGUUUAACAUAUUGCUUGUAGUUCUUAUUUCUUUUUUUUGCAUUUGCAUCAGCAGUGUUAUGCUCCACAACAACAUACUUUAUCACAGUCGAUAACAUUUCUUCGAAUUGACAGGGUCGCAUUCAGAACUACUCAAGGAUCCUGAGGGAGCUUACUCUCAGCUCAUUCGUUUACAAGAAGUAAAUAAAGGGUUGGAACAGCUUGCAGAUGUAUCAGAUGUUAAUCAAGAAUUGUUCAGACAAUCGAGCCUAAGAAGGUCAUUCAAGCGAUCAAUCAGCAGGGGAUCAUCUAGAACUAGCAGCCGCAAUUCUUCUUUCUCUCAACCUUUUGGUUUACCUACUGAAAUGAAUGUCACUGAUCCUGCAAUGUUAGAUACAGAAGACCCUGCUGAACCACCAUUGAAACAGGCUAAGGAGGUUUCUAUCCUCCGGCUUGCUUACCUCAACAAGCCGGAGAUUCCUGUGAUCUUAAUUGGAACUCUUUUUGCAGCUGCCAACGGUGUGAUACUUCCACUUUUCGGUAUCCUGAUUUCCAAUAUGAUCAAAACAUUUUAUCAACCUCCUGAUGAAUUGAAAAAGGAUUCAAGAUUCUGGGCACUGAUAUUUUUGUCCCUUGGCCUGGCAUCAUUUCUGAUAAAUCCUGCUCGAACAUACUUCUUUUCUAUCGCCGGAUGUAAAUUAAUCCAACGAAUCAGAUCAACAUGUUUCGAGAAAGUGGUCCGCAUGGAAGUUGCUUGGUUCGAUGAACCUGAUAAUUCAAGUGGUUCAAUAGGUGCAAGGCUCUCGGCAGACGCAGCCUCGAUACGUGCCCUGGUUGGAGAUGCACUAGCUCAGUUGGUCUCAAGCUUUGCAUCAGCAUUGGCUGGUUUAGUUAUUGCUUUUGUUGCAAGUUGGCAGAUGGCAUUUAUUAUCCUAGUAUUAAUCCCUCUCAUAGGGGUCAAUGGAUACAUUCAAGCAAAAUUCAUGAAGGGAUUCAGUGCAGAUGCAAAGGUAUGCCUGAAUAUUGCUUACAUAAUUGUGAAAAAUAAGUAAAAGGGGCAUAUAUUUUUAAGAAUAUUAUUGAUUUAUACAUGUAUACAUAAAUUGUUGCAGAUGAUGUAUGAGGAGGCCAGCCAAGUUGCCAGUGAUGCAGUUGGGAGUAUAAGAACAGUUGCUUCCUUUUGUGCAGAGGAAAAGGUAAUGCAACUCUACAAAAAGAAAUGUGAGGGUCCAAUGAAAACCGGGAUAAGGCAGGGUUUGAUUAGCGGAUCAGGAUUCGGACUUGCGUUCUUCUUUCUGUUUUCUGUUUAUGCAACAAGUUUCUAUGCAGGAGCUCAACUUGUUGAGCACGGCCAGGCGACAUUCACAGAUGUUUUUCAAGUGAGUUUGACAUCUUUGGAUCUUUUUUGUUAAGGCAUGCUAUUUAAUUUUGUAUGUCCCUAUGAUGCUGAAACCAAUAUUUAUUUCGCAGGUUUUCUUAGCUUUAACCAUGGCAGCUGUUGGAAUUUCUCAAUCAAGUUCCUUCGCUCCUGAUUCCAACAAAGCCAAGAUUGCGGCAGCUUCCAUAUUUGCAAUUAUUGAUCGCCGGUCUAAAAUAGACCCAAGUGAUGAGUCUGGGAUGACACUAGAAAAUGUGAAAGGGAAUAUGGAGCUUCGUGAUGUUAGUUUUAAGUAUCCAUCAAGGCCAGAUAUUCAAAUCUUCCAAGCCUUAAGCUUGUCUAUUCAUGCUGGAAAGGUAAACGAUCCUUUUGCCAUACUGAACUCGCAAACACAUCACUUAUCAACAUAUUUGUAGAGACUAAAAUCAUACACGUAUCGAUCAUUUUGUUUCUUUCAGACAGUUGCCCUGGUUGGAGAAAGUGGGAGUGGGAAAUCUACUGUAAUCUCAUUAUUGCAGAGGUUUUAUGAUCCUGAUUCAGGAACUAUCACUCUUGAUGGAGUCAAAAUCCAAACGCUCCAAUUGAAAUGGCUGAGGCAACAAAUGGGGCUUGUCAGCCAAGAACCUGUUUUGUUCAAUGAUACAAUCCGUGCCAACAUUGCAUAUGGAAAGGGAGGAAAUGCAACUGAAGCAGAAAUUAUAACAGCAUCAGAGUUGGCCAAUGCUCAUACGUUCAUCAGUGCAUUACAACAGGUUACAGAUCUUUUUGAAAAUAGUCUCCAAAUUGGCUCAAUAAUGCAACCAUUACAAAAUAGUCUCCAAAUAUGCUUUGACUAAUGACUGGUUACUGAUCUUUUCACCUAUAUAAUCCAGGGUUACGAUACCGUGGUGGGAGAGCGAGGACUUCAAUUGUCAGGUGGACAAAAGCAACGCGUAGCCAUUGCACGAGCCAUCGUUAAAAGUCCAAAGAUACUGCUAUUAGAUGAGGCUACAAGUGCAUUGGAUGCAGAAUCAGAGAAAGUGGUUCAGGAUGCACUAGAUAAAGUGAUGGUGAACCGCACGACGGUUGUAGUUGCUCAUAGGCUAUCCACAAUCAAGAAUGCAGAUGUUAUAGCUGUGGUUAAAAAUGGGGUUAUUGUAGAGAAAGGAAAGCAUGACACUUUGAUAAACAUCAAAGAUGGUUUCUAUGCUUCCUUAGUUGCACUUCACAUGACUGCUUCCACUUCGCAGUAGGACUUACAAGUGUUGAGAGUCGAAUAUUCUACUUAAUGUUACCUAUGAUUGCAUUAAGUGAUUGAAUUCAAUUUUAACUCAGCCUCUUAGAAUUUGCAAGAUAGUUGCUUGAUACAAUAAUUCAUGCAGAUAAUCAUAUAUUAAUACCCAGAGGCAAAUGCUGUUUUCAUGAUACGUUUGCUCGUUCCUUUGAAUCCUACGGAAGAAAGAGUCAGAUUUGAUGAGAUAAACCAUGGGAAAAUUAAAGAAACUCUACUGCAUGUCUUAUAAUGAUGGAUAAUGGCCAAAGCAAUUUUUUUUAGAAUAAAGUAGAGAAGUUUGAAGAAAAAUGUUUAGGUUUUUAAAAUAUCAUUAUUCCUCGUUAUCGUUUUUAUUUUGCUCAAUCAAUUUUAACGGUGUGAAUAUUUCAAAAUAUAUACGUACCACUUCUUCCUCUCUUUUUUUUUUUUGCAAUUUUAAUCCAUUUUUAGUUACUUUUUUUCAUUUUACUUAUAAAAUUUUUAAUUCUUUCAUAUAUUUUUCAAAUAAUAUUUCAACUAUAAAUAUUAUUAAUUGAGUAAAAUUAACAUUUUUCUAUUACAUUCAAAUCAAAAUGUUACCUUUAUACAAUUUUAUCAUUUAAUUAAUCUACAUGUAUUAAUUAUUUACUUUAUAAUUAAAUUAAAUCACUAUUAAUUAUAAAAAAAUUAUUAAAAAUUAAUACUAUGUAGAAUAAACGUUUAAAUUUAAAUCUACAUAAAGAAAAAGCCAAACAGUGAUAAAAUUGAAUGCAAUUAAAAUCAAAUUAAAUUAAUUAAAAUUGAAUUAGUGAUGAAAUCGCACAUGUCGUAAACUGAAAAUGACCAAAAAGAGAGUUAAAACAUCACUAGAAAAAGUGGCGGAUUUGGGGGCCAAAAAAAAGGUUGAAGCGCAGACACACAUUUUUUUUAAUUUUAUUUUGUUAAUAGUAACUUAAUUUGUACUAUUACAAAUAAGUAUAAAAUAGUGUUAGCUUUUUUUUUUAAAUAUUUUAAUUUAUAUAAGCUAUUUGAUUUAUUCUUUCAUAUUUAAUUUUAAAAUGAAAUAUUUAAAAUUACUUUUAAUGACCAUAUAUAGAAACUUAUCUUUAAGAAUUGAAUUAAAGACAUACUUAAAACAAAUGGUGGCAAACUUUUAUGAUGGAUAUUAUUUAAAAAUAUUUUAUUUUAAAUUUUUUAAAUUUAUUCUAAUAUCAAUUAUCAUGAACUUACAUAUUAUUAUGUUUUAAUUUUAUAAUCAUUUUGUUAAUAAAUCGUUGCAAAAUUAAAAAUAGUUAUGACAUAAUUAAAUAAUUAAACAUUUAUUUUAUUUUCACUUUCUCAACCAUACUAUUUUUAUAUCAAAUUUUAAAAACAAUAUAAUAUAUUUUAAUUAAUACACGAUAGUAAUGAAAAUAAUUUAAACUAUUAUAUAAUAAAUAAAUUAUUUUAAAAUAAUAUAUAACAGCUAUUGAUCUUUUAUUUACUUAAAAAUAUAUUUUAAAAAUUAUUAACUAUAUUUUUUAAAAGUAUUAGGACUUAGGAGUCGUAAUAGUACUUAUCCGGAUAUUCCCCCAAAAAAUUCGUAGCCAGUUUUCCUGCCCGUGGCUUUUUACUAAUUUUCAGGAUUUUUUUAUUUACAAAUAAGGACAAGAAGUGAUCGUUAGACCUAUGUGGCAAUUAGAGAGACAACGUAAAGCCACAUGGCAGAAAAGCCUCUAGGAGCUGGCAAAAUCCUAGCCGUCAAUAUUCGGAUGAUGUCAUCGCACCGCUGAUAUUAAAAAAGAAACGCAUGCCAAAGUGCCAGUAAAGCGUGGCAAACCGAAUUCCUCACGAGCGCGCCACCGCCAAGCGCAACAAUCCUUCCACAUCAGCUUUAGAUUUAAUCGAACCACUAAUAGCGUGCCACAUGUGCUAUUUCCUUCCCUUCCAGGAAACUGAAACCGUUCAAGGCAACGUAUAUUCAAUAUAUGAAUGCAUUCUUCUCAAUCCAUUCUUAUAUUUUCCAAGCUAAACGGGAAUCGAAACCAUCUGAUUCACGCCAUGGAGACCUCUGGCAUUGUUUGUAAGACAGUUUCAAGGUUGCCGGCGGCUAGGGUUGAUUUUAGCGGACGGUUAUCCAGGGAAUUGAAUCAUGGUGUUGGAGAUUCCAGGGUUUCAGUUAGGCCGAGGAUUAAAUCUUGCAGGAGAUUGAGUUGCCAGUUUUCUGAUUUAGGGCAUGUCCAGUAUUAUGUGUCACCGAGGGGUGGUGGUGGUGGCGAUGCCACGAAGAAAGACAAGGGAAAGAGCUGUGAGAUUAAACAAGUCAAGAACAAGCUGAAGCUUCUCAAGCGGUUGUCCAAGGACUUGUCCAUGCUUCCUCAGAUUGCUAAUGGCGAGGAUACUAGGAUUGGAUUGGCCGCUGAAGUUAAGGCCACGAUCAUUCAUGUAAGAUAUUAAUUUUCCGUCUUCUUUUUCUACUUCUGUUUUUUUGUGAUUGCUUUGAUCUGGUUCGUGCCGUGACAAAAUGGUUUAAUUGCUCUUUAAUUAAACUAAGAAGCUUUCUUUGUAUGAGAAUUGUGAAAAAAGAAAUUUUGAAGUGGGAUUUUUGUGAUAUAUUGGAUUAAAACCUCAUAUGUUGUUUUGUUCUUUCAGGAAGCAAGCGGUGUUUUGCAGGCCCAACUGCAAAAGUUGAAAUCAGAACAAAAGGAGUUGAAGAGAAAAUUGAAAGAGGAACGAGCCAAGCUCAAAGCCACUUUUGGGAAAUCAGAAUCAUCAUCUUCCUCUGAAUCAAGUGACAGCGAAUGUGGGGAGGUAGUUGACAUGAAAGCCCUGAGAAACAAUGCUUUGAAACCUUCCCUAGAGGCAGAAACACCAAUUGGCAAUGCUUUGAAACGACCCGAAGAGAUAGUUAUAGAAGCUCCAACGGUGGCAGAGGAAGCAACAUUAGCUAACUCGCUCAUGGAACUAGAAAACUCAGAUUCAAGCCCCCAAAUUCGAAUACGAGUUCCUCUUGCUGGAUUGGAUGGUGAAUGUUGCAGUUCAAAUGGCUUCAAGGAUGGGCAGAGCAACAUCCUUGUGGAAGGGACAUCAACCAAGCAGAUUGAAGUUUGCAUGGGUGGCAAGUGCAAGAAGAUGGGAGCUGCGGCGUUGUUAGAAGAGUUUGAAAGGAAGUUGGGGGAAGAGGGCACUGUUGUGGCGUGCAAAUGCAUGGGGAAGUGCAAGACCUCUCCAAAUGUAAGGGUCUUGAACUCUCAAACGGAAACUACAACAAGAAUCAAUGAAGACUCUGUUAGACUUGGGAUUAAUCCUACAUGCACGGGUGUCGGGUUGCAAGACGUUAACCUCAUCGUUGCAAAUCUUUUGGGCAAGAACAUAGAUGAUGAAUGUCUGGUGCUCUCUUCUUGAGACUUCAUUUUGUUUCAUUCUUCGAUUACGAUCAUGAAUUUGUUAAUAGUGUGAAUAGGGGAAAUAUAGUGGAUGAGCUAUUGGCAUGGAUGAAACUACUUUAAAUCUAGGCUCUAGCGAUCUAGAUGAUAAUGUAAAAUGCUUUUAUCUUUCAGUUUUAGAGUAAUGUCGAAUGCAGCUUGAGGUUUUUAGUUUGUUCUGCAAAAUUUGUGCCAAAAUUUCAUCAUUUCCCUUCUUUCCGCUCUCCUCCUCCUCGGUUUUCCAAUCGCAGGUUCUAACAUAAAAUUUGGUAAUGCAUUACUACCGAUGAACAAGCCACUAAUCGAUUCGCAGUGACUAUAUAGAUAAACAUGCAAUAAUUUCACCAAUUUAAUGUCAAAAAGGAUGUUGGCAGAUUUGGGAUUUGAUUGUGGCUCCAAAGGUUAAGAAUUUCGUGUGGAGAGUUUGUCAUAAUCUUAUUCCUGCUAAGAACGUUGUUUCCAACAUGAUUCGGAACAUGAUUCGGAAUUGUUGGAACACAUUUUUUUCUCGAUUUGAAGUUUAAUUACAAAACAAGCCAAGAAGGCUUGUCUAGUUUUAAGAAAUGCUGGGGAUGAUGUUGCCAACCUUCUCGCUAUGUUUGUCUCUAUUGAUAUGAAGGAGCUUGUUUUGUUUGUGCAGUUGGCCUCUAUGGAAGGCCAGAAACUGUUCUGUUUUUUAGAACAUCCUCAGGAGGCUUUUUGAGUUGUGUGAACAGGGAUCUCUCUGCCUCUUACUGGGGCAGGAAGUGACUGCAAAGAUUCACUAAAUUGGCAAAAUUCUCCUUCGCCUUUGAUUGAAGCUUAAUUGUGAUGCAUAAUUUGAUAUUGCGGUGAUUUGCUUAAUUGUGAUGCAUAAUUUGAUAUUGCGGUGAUUUGCAGGGACUAUAAUAGUGAUAACGCUCGUACACCUCUGCUGAAACCAUGGUGAUAACACCCGUACACCUCUGCUGUAACCAUUGCAAUUCGUCAACUCUGCCCCUUAGCAAGUCAAAGAGGUUGGUCUCAUGUUUUUGUGAAGUCUUGAUUGACUGCAGCUUAUUCAAAAAUUAAAGAAGUCAGUUUCUUGUAAAGAUUGGAAAAUAUUGCGAUCCUAUUGUAAUAUUGUGUUUUCUUGGUUAGCUGGUAUGGCAGGGUAGCGCCCACACCUUCUGACUUGCUCAUUCUUUUGUCUAAUGUAAUCUGAGGCUUCAUGCCGUUUUCAUGAAUGAAAAAUGACAAUGCUGUUGGAGGAUAACGCAUGAAGAUGUCUUGAUAAAUGCUAAAGACGCUUGCUUUAUGGAAUUCAUAUCAGACAAGGAUAUACCGAUUACACAUACAUAUAAAUUCAAAAUAUUGCGAUACAAUUAAUGAACAACAUAUUUCAGCUGAAAGCAGGUUUAACUGCUAAAAAAUGCUGGAUUCAUUCAUACAUUUAUUAUUGCCGAACUACAAGGGAUUGAUACAAAGCCCUAGGCACCUGUCAGACUACAUUGGCAAAAAGUUAUUCCAAAACGCUUUCGCGGUUCCAAGAGGCACACAUAAUAGCUACUUCUUCUACCUUCUCUUUCCCAAUCAUUUUUGGUUCUUUAAAAACUGUGUGAUGUCGCAAGCAUCAGAAAACUGGCAAAGCACGUACGUUAUUCCAUGGAAAGCUGCUCCAACCUUUAUGACUGCCUGACAAGCGCAAAUAGAAGAAAUCAAGGUACAUAAUCUUCUGGAUUAGAAUAAAUUUCAUACAAAUUGAGAAGGCACAUUAAGUUAUAUCUAGCAUGAAAUCAACUGUCCCAAGCCCCCUUUUUGCCUCUCCUUUCCACCUCCUGUGAAUAUAGGUUCCCUGGAUUAUUAAUGCAUCAGUAUGAGCAGUACACUACUAAGUUUUUAGAAAUGUCAUUCAGACAUAUAUACUCUCUGGUUACUAAUAUUAACCUAAUUCCAGUCUUCCAUUAGUAUUGUGAUAUAAACAAAAAAGAAAGCAGAGAAAAGAUCCAAGAGGAAUAGGCAGGUUAAGACAUUUCACAUGCAAUUUCAUCAUGGUGCAAUUAAAUCAGAAUCAGAAUACUUCCACAGGCAUAGAGAUAUUGAAGAAAUAUUGGUUUUUCCUAGUAAUAGAUUUAGGAGCAUAAGACUUUCUACAGGAACACAAUUAAUAAUAACAAGAAACACUAACUCGGUCUUAGGUUUCAACAUUAUAUAUGUUCUCAUUAAAGAUAAAGAGCAACGAUGAUUAGCUUUAAGCAGGCAAGUAACACUUCUUAACAGAAAAUGCCACAAAAGCAAUCCAACAUUGAGCAAAUUAAGUCAAAGAAAUUACCUCUUCAUUCCUUAAAAAGCAUUUUGCAAGUCUUCCCAUCCUCGACUAACUGAUUAAUAGCAUCCCUUAACUUCUCAUAAUCCUCCAAUGUAUUAUAAACUUGAUGAGAAAUUCGCACAUAUCCCGUAAUAAAUCCAUCCUUAUCUCUAACACCCUCUUCCCCAUCCUUUGGAACCUGAUGAAAGAUUGGAACUUCAACCUCAUAACAAUCCCGCAAAUGUGACCUCAACUUCAAAGCAUCCUUCUCACUAUUAAGGCACAACCUCGACGGCAAACCAACCAUAAUCAUUGCAGCAGACAUCUCCGGGGGAGACCCUAAAUUUGUCCCCCAUGAUUCCGCCAACAUCUUCCCCAUCUUCACCACUUGAUCAUGGUUCCUCUUCAUUAUCCCCUCAAUCCCUCCUUCGAACCUGUUAACAAACUCCAAAACUGCAGGAACAACUAACUGAGAACUAUAAUCCCUAGUCCCAGUCCAGGCGCUUUCGAUAGGCAACCCAUUUCCAUACUCAUGUGAAACAACAGGGUGAUGCAAAUCAGAUGAUGUAGUCGAUUUAUUACAGUAUAAAAAUGCUACAGAAGGCGGGCAAAAGAACCAUUUAUGUAAAUUGCUAACAUAAAAAUCAGCUCCAACUUCUUUAACAUCCACUUUCACACUCCCAAUAGCGUGAGCCGCGUCUACGAACACCUGCUCUAUUCCUUCCGCUCUACAAAUCCUAACUAACUCUUUUACCGGAAUAACAACCGAUGGCAUUGAUGUAAUAUGAUCGAUAAUCGCUAACCUUAUCCUUCUACCGUUGGAUUUUCCUUCGUCGAUCGAUUUUUUGAGUUCGGAUAUGAUUUCUACCUCUGAAUUUACCGGGAAUGGUAGCCGUACCUCAAUGACGGAGCCGCCGGCCCGGGUGACGUACGCUUGGAUUGAUUUUUUGACGGCUUCAUACGCGCAGUGGAGCAUCAAAACAGUGUCAUUUUUCUGGAACUUCCCUUCGGCGAAACUGCGGCCGAUCCGUUGGAGCACGAUGGCCGCAGCGGUUGUGGCGUUAUCGACGAGGGAGACCUCGUCGACGUGGUCAGCGUUGAUGAGGUCCUUUAUAAUUUUCCGCGAAGCCGUUAUUCCGUCACGAAGGGAAUUAAAGUAAAAGGCAUCAGGUUGACGGAGGAACUGUAGCUGCCAAUGGCGUUGGGCAGCAAGAACCGAACCGGGACAGCUACCGAAACUCCCGUUGUUGAUGCGUGCGACACGUUGGUGGUGGUGAGAGAAUUCGUCUCGGAUAUCCGACUCGGUAAUGAACUGAGAUGAAAUUUUGGGUUUCUUGGAGCUGCGGUGAGUCGACUCACCGUUUCUAGGGUCAUCGUGCUGCAUCGGCGGAGAUAAGGAGCAAAUGGAAGCAAAUAAAAGGAAAUUAGGGUUUUGUCGUGAAAAUGGGCAUGAUUUUAAGAACUGGACAGUCGAUAGCUACCAAACAGUGGUAGUGCCCUUUUCUUGGUUUUAUUUGGUAUUUUUUUUCCAAUAAAAGGUUACCGUAUUCGUUUCCAGGGCAAGACUGGGACCGAUGAUAAUUGAAUAGAUAACGAUGAUGCAAGCAAUACGUCUUCGUUUCUUUUCCUCUAAACAAUUUGGGGAAUAUGCAAGUCCAGGGGUCAUGAGCUUGACACGUAGGAAUGUAGAAGCGGCGUCGUUUCAAUGAAGAACACGUCACACUGUAUGCUGUCAACAGCGGUCGACCAAUCAAAAGAAGCGAUCGAGCCAGCAGUGCAAAAUGAACCAUUACCGUAGGUUGAAAUGGGAGAUCAAUGACAAUGGCAACGGGCUCUGUUUCUGGUGCUCCCUUCGCUUAAUCUUAAGCGCCGAAAUCCCAACAAGAGACGGAGAAGAAAGAGAGAGUUAGAUCAAGAAGAGUCAAACAUAGCUAGGGUUCCAACUCCUUGAGAAUUCAAAUAAAACACUCUUCUUUCUUUCUUAUCCCGUCUCGUAUCAGGUUGGGAUUUUCUUAAUUUUCUAUUAUAUUCACAAAACCUAAAUUUAAUCUCAUUUCUUUUUCGAUUUUGGAUUUUAGAUUGGACUUCGGAAGAAGGGAUUGUAUUGAAGCUCGAAUUGAGGUGAAGAUAGGGAGUUAAGUGAUCAAAUUCCCCCAUUUUUUUAAUCCUGUGAGGUUACUUGUGGUGAGUUUUUGGGGCAUUAUUGAAUCUUAAUUGAUAUCUUGAAUUGGGUUUCCUUCAAAAUCCAAUCUUGUUCUUUGUUUGUUUAUGGAGUUUUAAGGUUUUCUUCCGGCUUUUGCCGGUGAACAUUGCGUUGAAGUUCUUCGCAAACGCUUUAAUCCUGCACCUUUGAUCCUCUUCGAAGAGCUGGAAUUUGAUCGGCAUUAUAUUCAAUUAAGGGAAACUUUCAAUUGCAAUGGCCACUCCGCCACAAGCUUCCCCUGGAUACUCUAGAACAAUUACUCCUCAGAUGGAUUCUCUUUCGUCUAAACCUGAUCAAAGUGCAAUGUCUCCUGCUCCUCCCACAAUCUCCUCUGGGGCACCUAGGUUUCCUCCGCCAAUUUCACAACAGGAUCAGAUCCCUUCCCCUUCAAUAAAAUUAUCCACUAUGCUAUCUCCAGCAAAUGGAGUCAAUACUGGAAGCUCUGUUCCCCAUAUGAGUACUCCCCCUGGUCCCCCUGUAUUUGCAUCACCAGUCCGGCCUGCUGCUGUGCCUUUCCGAACCUCUCCUGCAACUCCUCAGCCAGUUGCUUUCUCAUCAGCUUCGUCUUUGCCCACAUCUUCUCCUCCCUAUUUUUCAAAUGGGUCGGUGGAGCUGCAACAGCAACUUCCCAGUGCUAUAGAGGAACCUGUGCCUGAUGGAAAGUCACCAUGUGUUUUAUUCUCGGCUCAUAAGGUAUCUUUCUUUCCUUGUCGGAUGAGAUGUAAAGCUAAUAUAUUUUUAUUGGUCUUAUGGCGAGUUUUUUUAUGUUUUUUCUAUCAAAGUCUUGAAUAUCUUUUUCAGAAUUUUAUGAUUAUGUACAUAUUAUCAAAUUUUACAUCCUAUUGAUCUUUGCAGUUAUAUGCACUAUUUCUAUCCAAAAUUUAUUUAUCCUUAUUUUGUGGACCAGGUGUUGAAACACAAGAAACAAGCAAACGUACCUAGCUUAGGUUUUGGAGUACUGGUUUCUCCUGGGAGGGACACUUCACCUGGUCCCCAAGUGAUACAACGUGAUCCUCAUCGAUGCCUUGAUUGUGGAGCUUAUUCGAAUUUAUACUCCAACAUACUAAUUGGCUCAGGCCAAUGGCAGUGUGUAAUUUGCGGGAAUCUAAAUGGAAGCGAAGGUGAAUACAUAGCAUUGAGCAAGGAAGAGCUUCGUAAUUUUCCUGAGUUAUCAUCACCUUUGGUUGAUUUCAUUCAAACAGGGAAUAAGAGGCCAAGUUUUGUUCUGGUUACUGAUUUAAGAACUUCUGCACCAGUUUUUCUUGUCAUAGAUGAAUGUUUAGAUGAGCAACACCUUCAGUAUUUACAGAGCUCCUUGCAUGCAUUCGUUGAUUCACUGCCACCAACAACUAGAAUUGGAAUCAUUUUGUAUGGUCGUGCAAUAUCAGUCUAUGACUUCUCAGAGGAAUCCAUUGCAUCUGCCGAGGUGAUUCCAGGUGGAGCUUCACCAACUCAGGAGGCUUUGAAAGCAUUGAUUUAUGGGACAGGUAUAUACUUGUCCCCAAUGCAUGCUUCAAAAGAGGUGGCACACCUGAUAUUCUCCUCUUUGAGGCCUUACAAGUUGAAUGUUCCAGAAGCAUCAAGAGAUAGGUGCUUAGGUACUGCAGUUGAGGUUGCUCUAGCUAUUAUUCAAGGUCCAUCUGCAGAUUUUUCACGAGGUGUAGUUAAAAGGCCAGGUGUUAACAGCAGAAUCAUUGUGUGUGCUGGUGGACCAAAUACAUAUGGCCCUGGAUCUGUCCCUCAUUCUUAUACUCACCCUAAUUAUCCUCACAAGGAAAAGACUGCAAUAAAAUGGAUGGAGCAUCUUGGUCGUGAGGCUCAUCAACAGAACACAGUCGUAGACAUUCUCUGUGCUGGAACUUGCCCUGUAAGGGUUCCUGUGCUGCAGCCUCUUGCAAAAGCUUCAGGAGGUGCUUUUGUUCUCCAUGAUGAUUUUGGUGAAGCCUUUGGUAUGAACUUACAAAGGGCAUCAGCCAGGGCUGCUGGUUCCCAUGGUUUGUUGGAGAUUCGCUGUUCUGAUGAUAUUCUUGUUACUCAGGUUGUCGGUCCUGGUGAAGAGGCACAUAUAGAAAACCAUGAAACCUUUAAGAAUGAUCUUUCUCUCUGUAUUCAAAUGCUGAGUGUCGAAGAAACACAAUGCUUCUCCAUAUCAAUGGAGAAUAGACAUGACAUCAAGAGUGAUUUCGUUUUUUUCCAGUUUGCCAUUCAGUACUCAAAUGUUUAUCAAGCUGAUAUAACUAGAGUGAUUACUAUCAGGUUGCCAACUGUUGAUAGUGUUCCAGAAUAUCUUCAAAGUGUUGAAGAUGAGGUGGCUGCCGUCCUAAUUGCCAAGAGGACUCUCUUGGGAGCAAAAAGUCAUUCUGAUGCAAUUGAUAUGCGUACAACAAUAGAUGAAAGAGUUAAAGACAUUGCUUUAAAAUUUGGCUCUCAAGUGCCGAAGUCAAAGCUUUGUCGGUUCCCAAAGGAAAUCUCUCUACUACCAGAGUUUCUAUUCCAUCUUAGGAGGGGUCCAUUGUUGGGAAAUAUAGUUGGUCAUGAGGAUGAGAGAUCUGUACUGCGGAAUUUGUUUUUGAAUGCAUCCUUUGAUCUUUCACUUCGCAUGGUUGCCCCUCGCUGUCUGAUGCAUCGGGAAGGAGGCACUUUUGAAGAAUUGCCAGCUUAUGAUCUUGUCAUGCAGUCUGAUACAGCAGUUGUUCUAGACCAUGGUACAGAUGUCUUCAUUUGGUUGGUAUGUAAAUUAAACCAUCUUUUAGUUUUGGCUUGUAUAUCUGCUAUAGUUGCUUCUGUGUUGUUCAUCUUUGACCAUAGAGCCUGGCAUUCAUGUUUGUGCUAUGUGGUUCAAUUCUCACGUUGUGAUUGAAUAGGAGACCCAAAAAUUUACGUAGUCUGGGUGUUCCUAUGCCACUCAUGAACAACCAUCGUGCCUGGUUAUUAUUCAGAAUUGUAUUUCUUUCUGUUAAUAUUAGGCCACGGUAGAAAAGUGAUGAUGGCCUGAUGUAGGGGGAACAUGGUUGGAAAGGCUUGGAAGUGAGAAGCUAUGCAUGAUUUGCUAAAUGCACAAAGUGAAUAUGAUCGUAGUUACGUCAUCCAUCUAACAUGUUUUUUAUCAUAUUCACUUUUUUAAGUUAUAUGUAUACAUACCCUGUGAUAUAUGACCCUGGAUGAAUUCAUUUCCCUUUUCACUCUUCUACUUGUAUGUGUUAGCAUGGUAUGUUUUGAGGGAGAAAUUGAUGGAUUGCUAUGCUUGAAUUGUAUUUAGAAACUAUAUUUAUUUAUUUCCGUGACAAUAUUGAACAUCUUCCUGCCAACUGCUGGGUCAGGGUGCUGAACUUGCAGCAGAUGAAGGAAGAAGUGCUGCAGCUUUGGCAGCUUGUAAAACAUUGGCAGAAGAGCUUACAGAGUUACGAUUUCCAGCUCCUCGCAUCCUUGCAUUUAAGGUUCUUUUUCUUUUAAAUUGCCCCAACCUUCUAUUAACUGUGCAUUGUCACGGUUUUUUUUUUUUAGCUAUCAGAAAGAAAAGAACCUAAUGAUGUGGUUUGUCGCAGGAGGGAAGCUCUCAGGCUCGAUAUUUCGUUUCUCGGCUGAUACCAGCACACAAGGAUCCUCCUUACGAGCAGGUAAGAGGAAAAUGGGAAAGCCUUUUCGCUUUUGGUCAUAAUAGGCCUAUAUCUAUGUCUGUAUUUUAUUGAAAAUGAGUAUUUAGAAAAAAAUUAACAAUGGCGUGAUACGUAUGCAGGAGGCAAGAUUUCCACAGCUUCGAACCUUGACAACAGAACAGCGGACAAAACUGAAAAGCAGUUUUAUUCAUUUUGAUGAUCCUAGCUUCUGUGAAUGGAUUCGGAGUUUGAAAGUGGUGCCACCAGAACCAAUCUAGGAGAUGUUUUACCUUUUUUCGCCAAAAGGGGGAGUCCCAGAGAGUUGCAUCCAACCAUCAUUUAUUGGGAUUUCUACUUCUUUUUGUUCUUCUCCUUGUGAGGGGAUUGUAAAUGUAACUCAUUCAUGUUUUCUUUUUUCGUUUCUUUUUAUUAAUUAUUAUUAUUAUUUUCUUUUCUUGCUCUCUCUUUGAUAAAAAUAUCACCCUCAUUUAAGCUUCAAAUAAACAGCUAUACUUAAUAGAAACUACAAAGUUUUUAACAUUUUUCACUUUCUUUGCUUAAAAUGCUUUAGUAGAGAGCAAUAGUUUCACUUUACUGCUACCCUCCUGUUUUGGCUUUGUGUCCUAUUCCCCAAUUUAAUUUAAAAAAAUAUAUUUUUUCAUAUAUGUAGAAAAUCAUAUUUUUAUAUUUAUGUUUAAAAAUAUAUCCGAAUACAAUUGCUUAGGUUUUGUGUUGUAAUUUUUCAAACAAAAAACAGAUCUCAAUCAUGUGAGGCUUUUCUGCUGGUUUCUCAUAGAUAUCAAUUUCUACAUUUUAAAUCCCUUUCAUUACCAUAGGGACCAUAACAACAUAGAAUUAAAAAAUAAUAAUAAUAAACAGCUCUUUCAUUCCAUUCUGACUGCAAAAAAGAAAAAAAAAAAAAAAAACUGGCAAGUCAUAUUGAACUUGAAGCAGAGCCCUUUAAUUGGGUUCGUCACCAUCAAGAAUUUCCUCCAUGAUUUGAUUGAUAGCACUUCCUCGAGCCUAUAGUUUAAAAGACAAAUAUUUCAGCACAUAGUCAAAAACACCCUAGGUUAAAAAACAAUCAGCAAAUUCGAGAUCCUAACCUUUACUCCAAUUGCAACAGCUGUUUUUAGCUUUACAAGCUCACCCAAUCUUAAGGACCCCUUUUUAUCAUCUUUAACAAUGAUCAACGGUACCUUUCUUGAUUUAGCCAACGUUGGCAGGUGCUUCGUCAGCCACUUUGGGUUGCAAUCAGCAGCUAACAAUAUAGCCUACAAACGCAACAAACAUACACCAAGUCUCGAGCUACUUAACAGCAAACGUACAAGCAAUAAAAAACUAACCCUAGCUGCUUGUUAAAACAUGGGUAAAACCAGGAUAGCUAACCUGAAAUCUAACAAAAGGUGAUUGGGCAGUGCUCCCGUCGUCAAUAAUGGCUGCCAUCCGUUCAAGUACACGUGUUACGUCAUUAACACCGAUUGCAAAUUGUUGCUAAAAAUGCCACAAAUAUUAUAAUCAGACAAUAAUAAAACCACAAGGUUAGUCGAAAAAAAUGAGUACAGCAUUGGCUAAGACAUCAAACCUUAAGCCACACUUUUUCAGGCAAGGAGUUUCCAGCCAGCGCUCUGGCUGACUCUAUCCCUCUGUUCAUUGAAAUAACAUAAUAAAAUUUAACUACGUAAAACAACAAGUAGUUGAAUUGAAAAAAAAAGGGUAUUUGUUAAUCGAAGCUAAUUGUUUCGAAUUAUUUACCUUCGGAUUGAUUCAAGCACGUGAAUGAGCCGUUCUCCUUCAUAGCAACUUUCAGGACCCGAAGAAAAAUAAAAAAGUAAGAAAUCAAAAGACAGUUUUUAUAAAAUCUAAUGAAAUUAAAAGAGACAUACUCUUGCUGUUGAGGAAGGGCGCCAUCCUGAAUGUUGUUUUUGGCCGCCUUGUUUCUAGGCGGCAUGUUUCUUGUUUGCAGAGUUCGCUCGCUACUUCUUCGAUGAAAAGUUCAUAAGAAAUCUAUUUAGAAAAGUUCAUUGAACUUUAUGGGGUAUUAUGGUCCUAAAAUUGGCCCAUUUAUAUAGUUGUCAAGUUAAUAGGCCCAUGGCUAGUUCCAAUCUUGCAUGGCUAUAACAUUUUAAAAAAAAAAUUCAUUCCUUCUAAAAAAAAAACUAAACCAAAUCCAAUGAUCCAAAAAAGGAAAAGUUUAGGCUUAUUAUCCAAAGAGAUGGAAAAAAAUAGAGGUAAGCAAUGAUAUUAGCAAAGUGUGACCGGUUUAAAUAUACUACAAUCUAUUCUUUCAAAUUUUAAAAUUUAAUCUUUAUAUUUUAAUUUAAAGGACAUUAAAUAUUUAUAUUUUUUUAUUUAAAAAUUUUGGUCUCUCCGUUUAAUUCCGUCAUUAAAGUUAACCAUGUCAAAAGUAAAAUAAUUUUUUAACGCUCAAUAAUUAUAUUUUUAUCAAUUUGGUCCUUUUACUUUAAAAUUACAUAAAAUUCUUAAAAUAUUAUUUUCAUACUUUAAAUAAAAUUAAUAAAAAUUAAAAAAUAUAUAAUUUUUAUAAAAUUUUAAAAAUGGUUUUAAAAAAUAUAAAUAAAAAUUUCAAAUCUCAAUGUUAUCUAAAUCAGACUGAACCAACUAGUUCGAUGGGGAACCUGUUGGGUAUCGGUCCAAUGAGAGGUAAAAAAAUUAGUUGAUUUGCGAAUCGAUACAGAUUGGUUGAAUCAAGUGAAAAAUCAGUUGAACCGAUUUUGAAUUGGUCUAACAAAUUGGUUCUAAACAACCAGCCCAAUCAUUUCAAAACAAAUAAAUUAUUAAAAAUUAUAAAGAUAGAUUCAAUUGCCAAUUCAACUAUGCUUCAGUCCGGUUCAACUAGUCUAUAUCGAUUCAUAGGUCUAUCGAAUUUUAAAACUUUAAAACUUUUUUAGCCCUCUACAUUUAUAGUUUUUUUGACAAUUUGGUCCAUACUCUUUAAAAGUAUGCAAAUUUUUUAGGUAAACUACCUAACUAGUAACUCAACUUUUUAGGUGCUUUCAUUUUGAUCACUCAAAUAAAAAAAUUUCAAAUUGGUCGCUACCGCUACAAUAAUUUAUUGUUUUGGUCACCUAUCCAUUUUCUCAUUAACGAAGCCUGAUGUGACAUGACACAUAAUGUGCAUAUAAUUAGUCCUUGUAGGCUGAUAUUUUCCAUGUAAGUAUAUAAAUAUUUUAAAUCCAUUCUCUUCUUUUCUUUUCACCAUAAUGUAAAAGCUCUAAUCCUAAAAUUAUCUUUUUUCAUAAACUUUCUAGUAUGUUUUCUCUAAACGAAUUUCCUGAUAGAUGCAAUAAUUGUAAGCUUGCAAGACAGGUUUGUUCUUUGGGAGUGUUCUCAAUGAGAUUAUUGUUUGAAAGAUCCAUGGUGGUAAUUAGUUAAAGAAUGUGGUAUAUUCAUGGAGUCUCCCUUUCAUACUAGCAAUUCGCUCCUUAAAAACUCCCAUUAACGAAGUAAUCAAUAAUUGCAUUUGUGUCAUCUGGUUUGGCAACCAUUGCAGUUAAAUUUUGGAAACAUUUUGGUAUUUCCCGACAAAUUGUUCACACCAAGGUCCAAGAUUUGCAGUGAACUAGGCUCUCAAAGCUCACAAUUUUGGGUAAGGGCUUUUACGUUACCAAAAAAUAGGAGAAGAAAAUAGAUUUAAAAUAUUUACAUAAUUACAUGGAAAUGUCAGCCAGCAAGGACAGACAUCACGUGUCAUGCCAUAUCAACUUCCGUUAUUGAGAAAGUAAACGAGUGACUAAAAUGAUAAAUUAUUUGAUCAAAUUGAAAUAUUUUUUUAUUUGGGUGAUCAAAAUUAAAGCACCCAAAAUAUUAAGUGAUCAACUAAAUAGUUUACUUAAUUUUAAAAAAAUUAAAUUAUAAUAUAUUUAAAAAAUAUAUAUUUUUUAAAAAAAUUAUAAAUUAUAAAAAAUAUAUAUGAAAACUCUUUAAAAUUCAAAAACAAAAAAUAAAAAGAUUUUUUAAAAUAUAAAAAAUUAAAAUUUAAUGUUAUUUAAAUUAGAUUAAAAAUUAAGUGUGCAUCGUAUGAUGAGAAUUCAGAUUAAAAAAUCAGUUGAAUUGGGAGUUUGGCUUUUGAUAUUUUUUUUUCUGGAUAAUACUAAAACUGAGGGGUUGAAACAUUGGAGUGCCUUCAAAGUCUUAACCCAUUAAAGUAGAAGCCCAAAUCACCUUAGUUAUCAUAAACCUCGGAUGAAAGGGUAUUUUAUCAAUCAGACGAUAUCAUUUCACUACUAAUCAAAUUCAUUAAUUUAUUAAAUAAAAACACUUAAUUAAAACAUAAAUAAGUGCUUGUCCAUAAUUUUACUAUACAUGUGUAUCUCUUCGUAAAAAACUUUAAAUUUAAUUAUUAUGUAGAAAGAUUUUCUACAACACAAGAAAUUCAUUCUUACAGUUAUGCUUAGGAUAAUAUAUUCUCUAGGGAAAGUAUAGUGCAUCUUUAGAUUAGAAAAGGCGGUCAUUAUCUAACAACCAACAAUAAGUAUACUGUUGUUGAUCAAAAGAGUAGCAAGAAAUCCCUUAAUAUCUCGGAGGUGCAACUGUAUUUGCCUGUACAUCAGAUCUUGUUCCAAAUAUUUUACUGUUUUGAUCAAAUUGAACAUCGGAUGGCGCCUGGAAGUGGAACUACCUGUUUUUAUGAUCAUACAAGAGAUGGACCCUUCUCUCUAACCGGCUGAUUACCUAGCAAACGCUUAUGCAAUAAAAAGUGAAAAUAUCACGAGCCUGAGAAGACCCAAAUUUUUAAUCACCCUGGCUAGUUAGCCGAAAAAGUGGUGCAAGACUGUGGAAGCUGGGGUGAUCCGGGAAGAGUAGCUACCCCAUUGGAGGAAUUGUUAUUGCCACCGUUGUUUCUUUUUGGUGCUCCAAUAAUUUUCAAAAUAGCUGCGGCUAAGGCUCUGCUGAAAUUUGGAUCAGAAGCAAUGGCUGCUGUAACAGUUUCAACCAUAGAAACAGGACGUUGCCAUAACUGCAUUGCCGAUACUGCAGAUAACUUGGGAGGAGCCAACAUGGAGUGCCCUAAAAUCUGUGGGUAACCGUGCACAGGUAGUGGAAAUGUAGCUGCGGAAGGCGGCGGCCAUAAGAAGGGAACGGCAUUUGGGCCCUGAGUCAAGUCAAGGGUUACGAUAGGGAACGGUGCCGCUGAGGGGGCCAUUGUGGAUGCAUAGGGUAAGGAAGGAAAGUAGCCAAAACUUGGUAGGCUAAGGCCAUCCUUGCUUGUUGUUGAACCUGAUAGCAACAUUGCUGCAGCGGCUGACGUAGUGUUAGCCAGAGCAGUGGCUGCUGGUGGUAGAGGAUGAUUGUGAUUCCCUUCAUAUGUGGUUAUGAGAAUGCUUUUAUCCUCCGCACAUCUUUGCACCUGCUUACGUACUGGGCAGCCAACAGCCAUGGUGCAACGGUAGUAGGCUCGUGGGCAAGGAUUACCCUUGGCCAGCUUUUGACCAUAUUUCCUCCAUUGACAUCCAUCGCUAAUCUGAAAAUUUUCAUCCAUCAUUUUCCGCAAAUUUGUCUUAAACGUUGCAAAUAGAAAUUGUACAGAAGCACUUUAGUAUAUAUACUUACCAAGGGAGCUUCUGAUCUGGCUCUAAUCGACACUCUGGCUUUCCUAAAAGGUACUUCAGAGACUUGCUCUUCCUUGUUAGAAUGAUCUAGCUUUAGACAUUUUGUCGGUCUCCAGCUUUGAGACGUUUUAUCGGAACCAUCUUCAACAGAAGCGUGCUUUCCUGGAAUUUGAUGUUCACCUUCCUUCGAUACAACUUCCAUAUUUUUCCCCGGGGAUGCUGACAAAUCUUGUGUUCUAUCGUUAGAUGCCGAAGGUUCAUUGACAUCUAAUGCAGCCGAUGGUCGUGGGUCCAUGAACUGUGGGACUGACAUUAUGGGACUUGACGUGCCAUUUACUGCAUCCUUCUGUUUGAAAAUAAAACUCUUUCAUUAGCCAAUAGCCACACACACACACAUAUAAGCUUGAUAUAUUCAUCCAUGAGAGUUGAAAAACAAUGCUAGUCUUAUUAAACAAUCUCCAUCGCGCAUCUAAAUAUCAAAAUCAAACGACACUGUUUUAUAUUUAGGGUAUACACCAUGUACUGAUUUAACCUAAGAACGAUGGGGGUUUGAAGAAAGGAAAACAAACUCUUUUAUCUUUUUAUUUAGAAUCGUCUAAAGAGUGCAUACGAUGGGUUGGAAAAUAAGCCUAAAUAGGUGGUUGAGCUGACGCCGCCUAUUUUGUUUAGUUGCUAGUCUUUUUACUCUAGCCCUUCAUUUACAAGGGCAAUAGGUGUGGCACUUGGUGCAACGUAUCUAUAGAUUGGGGGAUUGAAUUGUUCAUUAAUUUAAUGACAAUUUUACCUUGAAAGAUAUAGGAAGUUUUCCAAAACAACAAGGUCUAAAUGUAAAUGUAAAAAUUUUCGAGAAAAGAUGAUACCGGAUCAAGGGAGCGCACUCUCCCAUUCAUGUGAAGCACGUUAACCAAGUUUACUUAUUUAAUUUACACAUAAAAGGGACAUAUUUGAUGAAUUGUCAACACCAUAGAAAUAAAUAUUAACAAGCUUUAAUGUUUAGUUGUUCUUAAGAGGAUAAAAUGAUUUUGAUUCUUCUAUAUCUGAUUGAAUACUGAAUUACAUAGCAAACUGAUGAUAUAUACUAGAAAAUAUCUGGUGUUUUGAAUUCAACUUAAAUAUUUCACCUUUUCUGUUUUAUUUCCAAGCGCCAGUUUUUGCACCGCCAUGAAUAGUUGACCUUGCAGCUCUUUGUAGCUUUUGGUAAUCUGACCCAACGUGCAUCUCAGUCUCCUAUUCUCUUCAUUUAACCUUUCUAACGCAAUCUUAACAUGACUGAUCUGAAAACCCCAAUUCACCAUUCAACAAAUUGAAACUCAUAGACCAAAGAAAAUUUUAAAAAUAUGGUAGAACGUUUUUCGAGUAAGAAAUAAGAACAACUUACUUCAGCUUUGGGUUUCUCUUCAUUGGCUAUCCUUGAAACUCCAGAGCUUGAACUGAGAAGAUUUAAUCCAAUCUAAAACGCCAUAUAUAUUUAGUCAAUGAAAGUAAACUCAAAAUUUCCAUAAUAACUCCAACUAGUACUACUAUGAAUUUAAAUUAAUAAAUAUAAACAGAAUUUUUUUUAAAUAAAUCAUAUUAUAGUGAUAAUAAUGAUAAUCCAAAAACCUUACGUUUACAUCGGAAUCUAACAAAGAAGAUAAAGGACUAUUAUUAUUAUUAUCAAUCUUUCUCCCUUGAUGACAAUCAUGUGAUUGAUUAUGAUUAGGAAAGAAAUCCAUUUCCUUGAUGAGAGGCUUAACAUGAUCGCCGGAAUCAUCUAGGGCACCAUCAGGUUCACCAGAAUCCUGGGUGGGACAAUCACCAGAGUGCAAGAACCUCAGUUCUCGACGGAGCUGCUUCUCCAUGACUAAAGGAGAAACUAGAACAAAGAGAAAUAAGAGAGCGGUAGUUAUGUAGCUUUUUCAAGCUUUCAACAAGAAAGGAGCAUUUUCACCAUACUUUUAUAAUAAAAUAUGGUAAUACUACUGUUAAAAAAAGAAACGACUUAACCUUAGAGAGGUGGUCCAAAAUUUUAUAUAUAAAAAAAGGAGUAUUAAUGUGAUCUCUAAGGACCUAUCAUCGACUUAUCGUCCAGUCUCAUCCGUUGGAAUGAAAGCUUACCCUUUUUUCCUCGCGGGAGAUAUGUCGUGACAAUUGAUUGCAAAUUGGAGACGUGGCAAAUUUUGGGUGAGGUGGAACAAAGCAAGGAGUGAAACGGUAGGGGUUGAGACGGGAAGAACGGAUAGGGUAUGAGCGAUCCGUUUGGGGACGUCGUCUUGAGGUCAACGUAAUUGACGGCUCGGGUCCAUCAGAUGGUGGUCAGGGAUUUUAAAAAAAAGUUUGGUCCAGGCCCGGUUACGGGAGAAUACCUAAUCUCACUGACUUAAACCAUGUCAUCACGUCAUUUUUUAGAUUAAUUAGUUCACAUUCACGCCAUCAUAUGCUUCUCUGCCUGUACUUAUAUUGUUACCGGUGAAUUGAGUAUUAAUGCAAUUAGAAAUUUAUUAAAUUAUUUCUAUUAUAAAAUAAAUUAUAUUAUUAUAUAUGUGUUUUUUUUAAUGUAAAAUCAAUAUAAAAAAACAUAAUAUUUGGACUUCCGAGGCAAAGAAUUUUAAAUCUUCAAUUUCAUCCUUUCAAUAAAAAUUCAUUUGAUUUUUAUAUAAAUUUUAAUAAAUUUAUUUAUUACAAAAAUUUUCACCCAUUAUGCUGCAAAAUUUUUACUCGUUUGUUUUGCUUAUUUACUAAAAUAAAAUACCAUAAUGGGUUUUAAUAUAUUGGAAUAAAAUUUAAAGUUAUGCAUUAACUUUGAUUUAAUGUGUAAUUUGAUACAUGAACUUUCAUUUAGUGUAAAUAUACUCAUGAAACUUUGACUGUGGUUCAAAUGUAUACAUGAAACUUUAAUUUUGAUUCAAUCAUACACAUUUAAAGAAAUAAAGACAUCAAUAUAUUUUUAUAUUAGAUAAAUAUAACUAUUUGCAUAUACAAUAUAUAAACUUAAAAUGUUACUAUAUCAAUAAUUGUGUUAAUAAUUUGUAAAAAUUGAAUUAAAUUAAAAUCUCAUGUAUAAAAUUACAAUUAGAUAAAAUUUCAUGUAUAAUUUCAAGAUUUAACCCUAAUAUAUAUAAAAAAAUUAUAUUUUUAAGAAAUAAAUUAAUUAUGUUAUAGGUUUGCCUUUUUUCACAAACGUCAAGUUUUAUUAAAAUCUAGAUCUCAAUAUGGUACAUUUUUCUUUUCACCAUUAAAUAAGAAGAUAAAUGCGAUCGAACUCAUGUCCUCACACUUUGACAAUAAUGUCUCUACUAACUAAUAAAAUUCCCCUAUUAUAAAGUAAAAUGAACGGGAAAAGUGAGCUGAUAUUUUGGAGAGGAAAGGAAAUCAUGAAGGGGAAACACCACAACAAAUGAAAGAAUUGGAUGAAAUAUUGAAAUAUCCAUAUAAUCCUUUUAAAUUCAAUGAUCAUAAUUUGGUUUUAUUAGUUUUAAAUACAAAAAAUAAAAACAAAAAGCAUUAUAGGUUACCUUGGUUUGAUCAUUGUUAUUAAAAAAGAUAUCUCAUAAUGAAAUAGAGAUUUAGAGAAAAGAACACUUAUGAAUACCCACUCAAAUUUGACAAAAAAAAAAAGUAUUCAUAAACUCAUUUUACAUCUAUUUAAAAAGAGAAUUAUACCUUUGCUAUUAGUUGCUUACGUAAUUUUUUUGUUUUAUUUAUUAUUCAUUUUUAAUUAUAAAAUAAUAAAAAUCAAUCAUAUAUUAGAGUAUUAUAUAAUUGAAUAUAUUUAACGUAUUUGAUAAACAAAUAUAUUUAAUUUUAUUAAAAUAAUAUUUUAAUUUUUUUCUAAUAGAGUAGGUACCAAUUAAUUGGAGGAUUUAUUAUAAAAAUUUCAAAUAAGCACGCUCGUCAUGCAAUUAGGUAGUAGAAAUUGGCGGUGUCGUGUCAAAGGGUUAGUCGCACCUAUUAACUAGUAGAUGCUUCCUAGUCUGCUAGCCUAGCUACUAAAACUUGUUACUUAACGUCAUUGAAUACUUACUUAACAUUUUUAUUGAACUUAGUAGAAUCCAAAUGGGAGAUUGGGCGGCACAAAUUUUGACUCUCUUGAAGAGAUUUUGUCACAUACGAUGUAGCUUGGAAGAAAAUGCAAAUAUUUUCAUUUUUAAACAAGUUAAUAUUACGAUGGUUAAACAUGUAUAGGUACAUCAUAUCUAGUUGGAGUAUUUGGGGUGUAAGUGAAACAUUAGUACUCGCAAGUUACUCGAAUUUGAUUGGAAAAAAUAUAUAUGAACUUGAUUCAGUAAUUAUCGAGCCUAGGCAACUCGAGUUAUUUUUCGAACCAAAUUUAAACUUAAUAAUACCCGACUUGAAUGGCUCACAAGCCUUAUCGAGUUUUUCAUAUUUUUAUAUUAUUAAAUUAUAUUAUUAACCUUAAGCUUAAUUAUCGAGCUCGAGUGUUAAAAUUGAUAAACAAGUUUAACCAAGAUCGAACUCAAGUAGCCAAGCUCGAGCUUAAAAAUAGACGUUUGAUUCGAGCUCAAGUCAAGUAUCGAACUCCAAAUCUUGAAUUAAACUCAAGCUAGAGCUCGACAGUAUUUGUGUUUGGCUCAGCUCGAUUGCACCCUUAAUUGUCUUCUCCCUUGCUAAAAUUAUUUUUCAUAAAAUCUUUUUAAUAGAAAAUGAAUUCUGGAUGUUUGAUGUUAUUUCAAAUUUAAGAGAGAGGAUAUAAAUAGAGAGUGUUACGUACAUAAGAAUUAGAUAAUGUUGCCCUUGGACUCCACCAUGUCAAUCUUCCAAGCAAUUUGUGUACACGGUACCACAAAUUUUAAAUUGACUUUGGCUAACAAUGCUAGUGAUUUUCUUUAAAUGAAAUUUAAUAUGGUUCAUUGACUAAAUAUAUAUUAAUCUGAAAUUAUACGGAUGACAAAAUUGACAAUUGACAUUAUCCUGUAAUUUUUACAGCUGUUUUUGAAAUGGAUGGUUUUAUUCAUUAGAAAUAAAUGUGUUUCAAUUUCACAAGUCAUUUAAAAAAUUCAUAAAAUUACAUAUAUAUUUCUUCGAAAAUUCAGACAAGAUGUUUGGCAAAAGCAAAAGAUAAUUGAAACUUGGCAAGAAGUAGUCAAACUUUUGCCACAAAAACUUGCAACAUAUGUUAUAAAAUGGGCAAGGAGAUUCUAAAUUAAGCUUUAAGGUGGAGACUCCUUUGGGAUCUAGUUUUGAUGCUAGUAUGGAAGACACUAGGGGCGGGGACGGAGGCGGAAGAGCAACCAAAACUGUAAGAUUAAGGGAAGAUGAUCCUCUUGAUAUAAGUGAUAUGAUGGGUGAUAACUCAAUCGAUUCAUGUAUAUCUUUCAAAGAUAAGCUUAUGACUUUCUUUAGUGUCUUGAAUUAAUAGAAGAUGAUGUUAUCAUCGACAAUAUUGUUGAUGGUAUAUCAACAAUAAGGUUUUUUCAUAGUAUUUACAAUUGAUCGGAUAAAUUUAUGAAUUUCUUUAGUGUCGUGAAUUAAUCAGAGUUACUUUUUACUAAAUCAAUCCUUUUAGCCAUUUCAAAUUAUUUGUAGAUGAUGAAAUUUUUUGACUAAUUAUAAAAUCCCGCAUAUCAAGUCAAAAUUAUUGUGGGUCAAGUCAAAAGUAUCAUAUGUAAAAUUGAUGACUUUAUAUACUAUAUCAUAAUUAUUUUUCUAAUUAAUUUAAAUUAACUAAGAGAUUAAUUAUUAAAAAUUAUAUAAUCACUAAUUAAGUGAUUAUUUUAUCACCUAAUAAUCAUUUAAUAUUAUCACUCCGAAUGAAGAGUUUACAUUUCAUUGAAAUUCCUCUGCUAUUCGAGUAACUGACAUUAUAAAAGAGAUCACCACUAAGUCAUCCUACACAUUUCACAAAUUCAAAAAUCCAAAAGUUUUCUGAAGAAAGUGAAGAACUUGAAAAUUUUUUGAAGAAUGUCGCAUCGAUUAUAAAGAAAACUUGCCUUCCGGUCCAAUUCAAUCAAGUUGAGGAAGUCAAAAGUUGUUUCUAAAUAAAGUCAUCUUUCAAUUCAAUUAACUAGAGAAGGAAGAUCCAAACUUGUUUUAAGAGCAAGUCAACACGAAACUUAAAGCGGCCCGCAUCUAUCCAAGAUCAAAUUUAGAUGACUCUUAGAUCAAAGUUUAACUGGAGAGAAAAAUUAAAAAGGUUUUUUUUAUAUUCAAGAAAUCUAGAGGUGUAACCACUACAGGAAAAUAGGGCUUUAGCGGCGUUUUAUCAAAAACGCCGCAAAAAUUAUAAAACACGGAGCAAUAGCGGCGUUUUUGGUAAAACGCCGCUAAAAACAGAGCAUUAGCGGCGCUUUUGGUAAAACGCCGCUAAAAACCAAAGCAUUAGCGGCGCCUUCGAUAAAACGCCGCUAAAAGUCAUAUAAUCCCUAAAGCCCUAAACCCUAAAAAAUAAUAAACACUAAUCUAUAACCCUUAAAACACUAAACCUCUAAAUCCUAAAGACCCCUAAACACUAAACUAUAACCCCUAAAACCCUAAACUCCAAAAAACAUCAUAUGGAUGUUGAUGUGUAUAUACAUAGAUAUUAAUGUAAAAGCUUAUGUUCAUAAUAAAUUAUGGAAUUAAAACUGAAUGAGGUUUGAAACGAUAUCACAUACAAUUAAAGAAUUUCAAUUUGAAAGAGUGUAGCUUAAAACUGAAUGGGGUUUGAAAGGGAAGAAAAAGGUCUAAACCUUUGAAACAUGAACUACAAUUGAACAACAUUGGUGUGUUGGCAUACAAAUUAGACGACAUGUUUGAUGGUAUUGGGAUGUCACCCAACUGUUGACUGAGUCUUAGCAAUUAACAUUCAACGCCAAUUGUGAAUUGUGAAUUUAUUUAAAUUUUCAUUUAUGAAUGUAAUUUAAUUAUGAUUUUAGGGUUGUUUUAGCAAAAAGUAAUAACAAAUAUUAUUAUCUAAACAUGAAUUAUCAUCAAAUUAACUUUAAAACUCGAAUUAAAUACUAAAAAAUAUCAAACUCGGGUACCAAAUUAUACAUUAAACCAAAAGAAAAUAUAAAUUAUUAUUUUGGUUUUUAUCUUUUUAAAUAAGUAAAAAGGAAAUUAAUAGCUUCGACUUCAAUACUAUAUUCAAAUCGAGCAAAAGUGACAAAAACAAAGUCAACAUUUUUUUUUAUAAAAUCUAACACUAAAAAACAAAAAUUAAAUUAGUAUUUUAGGCUUUGUCUACAGAGGAAAUUCAUAUAAUCAGCAUUACAUCAUCAAAUAAAUUUUACUAAUUCAAUAAAUUAGUAUUUUAAGUUUUGUCUAAAAAGGAAAUUCAUAUAUUCAAACAUUUUUUUUAUUCAAUGAAAAACUCAGCAAAAAGUAAACAAUAGUAGCGUUUUUAUAUGAAAACGCCGCAAAAAAUAUUUUCCUUCAAACAUCACGCGUUUUAUCCCCAAAAUUUUCCCCUGUUAAACCCUUGAUUUUUCCCCCGUUGGUGCCUCUUAUUCUUUCUUCCAUUUCAGGUGCCUUAAGAAUCGCUCCCUCGCUCCUACCACAUCCACUCACUCUCCCCUACUAUGAUGUUCGUCUCUCUAAUUAAAGCCAUUUAAUAAAAAUUUUAGUCUUUUUUAUAAAAAUCCAAUUUAUAAAAAUAUUAAUAAUAAAUAUUUUAUAAAAUCAUUUGACUAAUAAUUUUCACCAGACAAAACAAGGGAUUUUAAGCAAAAUAAAUAAAAUGAUUUUUUCUAGCGUUUUUUUGAAAAACGCGGCAAAAGAUAAGCAAUAGUGGCGUUUUUCAUAAAAACGCCACAAAAAAUCAUUUUACUUAGAACAAAACUACGCCGUUUUACUCUACUAAAAACCUAUUUUGUUUCUCCUAAACCACAACCCCGAAAUCCCUUAUUAAUUUUAUCCUCAAAUUUUACCCAUUGGAACGUCUAAAAUUUCCCCCUAAAAUCGGUAUCCCCAAAACAUAUCUAAUUUUUCCCCCAAAUCGAAAUCCCCAAAUCAAAAUCCUUCCACCAUUUCCGUGUCGCCAUACUGAUCCCUAAUCCUCAGCAUCUCUCUCACUGCAUUUCUUGCUUCUUUAAAUCUCCAUCUCUAAAUCUCCAUCCCUUUGAUUUUCGCCGAAAUCUAGUAAGUCUAAGUUCAAAUCUUGUAUGGGUAAGCUAAUCUUUUUCCUUUUUUGGGUAUUUGUGGGAGAUUUAUCUUCAAUACAUUCAAACUUUGACCUUUUUAUUUAAUCUAUUUCUGUUAUGGAUAUUGCAUUUUCUCCUCAUUUUGUAAUCUUUUACCUUUGGUUUUUGUUAUCUGUUCUCUUCUCAGAUAGUUUCAUGAUUGCAGAUUUUAAGAAAUUUAAAGGAUGCUUUCUGGCCAUUUCAACGUGGUACUGCUGAUAGUUUAUUCUUAAGGCAGCAAAUGCUGCUAACUGUAUAGAUAAAUUUAAUGGCUUUGAAGAUAGGUAUUUUAUCUAUAUUUCAAUUCAAUCUGUAUUUAGAUGUUAUUUUGGUGUUCUAGGUUAUGAUUUCACAUUUAUUUCAUGCAGUGGGUAUCGGCUUGCAUCUGCAAAGGCUGCUCAACAUAGGCUAGAUCGGGAUGUCUGGACCAGUGUUCAUUUUGGGGAUAUGAGGCGUGCUUUAUCUGGUAUGAUUAGAUGGUGUUGCAUGAGUAAAUACUUUUUUAUUUUAGGUAUCACAUAUCAAGAUCAUUAAAUGUAAAGAUAAUUGAAACUUAUUAUUGUGCGUUCCUUCUCUCGUUCUCAUUCCUUGCAACAGAAAGGGUUCAGAAAAUUAUUUGCACUAUUUCCAGUUUUAGCAUUCGAUCUUCAGUUCAAAGCUUUUGGUUUCAGCUAUUAAGUUCAUUAUCUUUUUUCUCCGCUUUUGAAUUUCCUUUCUCAAACCUGCUUUAGGUAAAAUUUCGUCUUCUUUUUGCUCAUGAAGUUGUAUGGCUCAAUGCAUUUCUGAUGUAAUGUCAAGGUUUAUGUACUUCUAUUAUGAUGAAAUUGUUACCAUAUUUCCAGCAUGUGAACGCUUUAUUCUUCUAAGAACCAAUCCGAAGGAAAUGAGAGAUUAUAGCAUUCUCCUCUAUCAUUGUGGAUUGUACGAGCAGGCUCUGAAAUUUCUCAAAUUGUAUCAAGACAUGAAGGUAAGUUUCAUGGUACACCUUAAUAUGCAACUUCGAACUCUGUUUGAAGAAUUGGGACAAACAUGUUUAGUGAACUAUUUUCAGAGUUCUUCCGCACAAAAUCCGUCAACAGAUCCAGUUAGCAACCCAGAAGAAGAUGCUGUGAAGAAAUUGAUUGUACGUCUCAAUUUCAUUGCAAUGGAGGAAGGUUGGACCUGGCCAUGGUAUGUCAGAAAUUAUCUUGGCAAUAACUCUGAGCCAUGGUAAGAGCUUCAUACAUUUUCUUGUGGUGUUUUAAAUUUCAACAUUACCUUCUCCGAGCUGGAUGGUCAACUUAAGAGUGAAUUUACAGAAACUGAGUUCACAUGUCCCUUAACUGUGCAGUUUAGGAUCAUAACACGAACCUGCACGUAGCAUAAGACGGAUUGAUCCGUACUUAGGAUUCGACCUAGGCAUAUUGCAAAAUGAUGAAAUAAGGUAAUAGAUAAUUGCAUUUGGCCUUGGGUUCUAACAUAUGGUUAAUUUAGUAUACGAGUUUUUUAGGCUGCCUUAGUAGUAUUAUCUUAUCCAUGUACAGUAACAAAGAUUUUGUUUUGGCUUACCUUAAAUGGUUGUAAAUGAUUGUUAUUUGGACCUGUUGUGUAUUUAACAGUGUAUGAAAAUAGAAAAUAUGAAUACAUCACAAGCUAUUAAUAUCAAACCUAUACAGUAACCACUAUAAAAAAAAUUGAAUAAUAAGGCUGCUGAUUUCAUGGCAAAUAUGAGCAGAACAGCUCCCUUGGGUCUGAUUGUGUUUGUUGAGCCGUAGAGUCAAUUUUUCUCCAUUAUAUUAAUUGGAGUUCCUAUUUAGACUUUCUAGCUGGAUUACUAUUUUCUUUUAUAAUAAAAAUAUUUUACUUAAAAAGGAAAAUUGUUUUAUAAGCUGUGGAAUUUUUUAACUUCAUUAGAGAGUUGACAAACAUCUACAAAAUUUUGUUUAUGGACAUGAUCACUCAUUUAUCGUUUUCUAGCUUUGGUCAUAGUUGAUGAGAUUGUCAUGUUUGAUAGAGCAGAGGUAUCAAAUUUCCAUCUAGAUCUUUAUUCUUUCACUUUGUUUUUGAAUGAUAUUUUUGAAACAGUUAAAGCUACGUUGGUAUGGUUCGAAAUCCGUGUUGUUGCUGUAGAAUACAAGGCAUUAUUCAGAGGUAAUUCCUUUUAGAGUAGUAUUAUAUUUGUUUGCAUGUCCUUAUUGUGUGGUUGUCUAUGUUUUGUUCAAUGCUGCCAACCAGAUUUAGUAUUGUUAGAUAUGGCACAUAAGUGUAUUAGUUUCAAGGUUGUAUCUUUGGCUUGGAGAGAAAUGAUAAGUUUGAUGUGCAUCCCCUGAACAAGUAUGUUGUUCAGGGGAAUUAAUAGCUGAGUGAUAUCUUUCAUGUGUAUUUGGAUGUGAUUAAAUGAUUAGAGAAAUCAUUUUUUUAUACAGUAUCAAAAACCCUUGACAACAUAACCACUAUCAUUUUGAUGUUUAAAUUACAUUUUAAGCUAUUAAUAUGCUUAAAUUAUAUUUUGAUGUUUUUAAAAUUAGCUAAUAAUUUAUGAAACGUGGCAAUUUUAAAUUAAAUUAAUUUAAUUUAAUUUAACUAAUAAAAAUCAAAUUUAAUAAAAUUAAGUUUUCAUUGUUUUACUCACUCUCUUCGCAUGAUGAUCCUUUUUUUUUAUGCAUUUUUUUAACUGUUAGAUAAUUUUUAUUUGUAAUUCUUUUACCUGUUUUUACUCAUUUUUUUCAAGUAUUUGAAUUUAAUGUGUUAUCCAAUUUUUUUUUGUUAUAUAUGUUUAUCUAAUAUUAAUUAUCUUAUACAAAGUAUAUAGAAAAGAAUAAAAAAUUUUAUUUUUAAAAAAAUUUAAAAAAUGAAUUUUGAAUUUGGAUGAAAAAUGAGUCGAAAUUGAGAUUUAAAAACAAAAAAAAAAAGCUUGCCGAAGUUUAGGUUUUGUUAUUGAAAAGUAGGUUUGGAUGAACUUGAAUUUUCUAUAGCUAAGUUGUUGGGUGGAGAAAAAAAAGAAAUGUAUAUAUUUAUAAGUUUUUUUUUUUAGAAAGAAGUUUAAGGAAAUAAAAAUUAUUUUUUUAGUUAAAUAUUAUCAUCUAUCACAAAAUAUUAGAUAAGUGAAUUUUUUUAACAGAAUGGGUAAUUUGAGUAACAUAAUGUAGUUUAUAUGUUACUUUGAGUAAUGAAGUUUAGCUUAGGUAUCAAUUAUGACUAAAAAAAAUUUCAGUUAUUUUUUUGUGGUUUAAGCCAAAGGAUUUCAAUUUUCAUUUUAAUAAAAAAAUUUCCAAUUUCCAAAUUACAAAAUAAAAGUAAAAUUUUAUUAAUAAGAGUUAGUGUAUUUGCUUUUUGAUUGGUCCUAUACAGUAAGUUGACUUUCUAACUCUCAGGGUACCAAAUUUGGUUGACUAAUGGGCUAAAUUUUUAUCUUCUUUCUAUGAUUAUAUGUGCUUGUCAACUACUAGUUUGAGUGAAAAACAAAGACAUUUUGUGAGCAAAGUGUCCUUUCCUUCUAAGAUGUAUUUUAGAGGAGCUAUUAAACUUAGUUUGACAUAGUGUUUUUAAUUGCAAAAUUUUGAUAAACUUUUUAGUGUUUUGUUUUAGUCUCUGAUCUUGUAUUUGAUGGCAUGGCAGAACACAUUUAUCCAGGAUGGGAAGGAGAUGGCAUCAGUGCUUUAUACUUAUCACAGCUGUGUCAAAGCACUUCCUCAGGUAUUUUAGCCUUAGUUGAUUCUAAUUUAUACAUAUUUUUAAGGUAAACAAUGUUCUAAUAUAAUCUGCUAGUUUUAGUGUAAAGCAAUGUUCUUUUUUAUGUGGUGUAGGGGAUAUGUAGGAAUUCACAGUUCGGGAUUCAGAAACUUGAUGCUGAAACCGGAGCUGCUUCGAUCUAUUGUGGAUUCUGGUUUUGAACAUCCUUCCGAAGGCAAAGUUUUAAACUCAUGUCUGAUGUUAACAUUCGUGAAUUCCAUGAAUUAAGUCAUUUUGCUUUUCUUGCUUUUAGUGACUUAUAAUGGUGGGCAGUAUACAAGUUUGGUGCUUUAUUAUUUUGAUUCUAUAUUUAUAUUUAAUCUAAUUUUUAUUAUUUAUUUUAAUUUUGAUUCUAUAUUUUUAUUUUUAUUUUAAUUUGAUAACGAAUUUUAAUAGAAAAUUUUUAUAUUUAAAUCAUGGACAUUAUUCUUCUCAAUAUUUUGAUAAUGAAUUUUAAUUUUUUUAUAUAUACAUAUUUUUUUUAAAUUUCAUGACCUUUAGCGGCGUUUGUUGGAAAAGCGCCGCUAAAGGUCCUGACCUUUAGCGGCGUUUUUUCAAAUAAACGCCGCAAAAUUUUGAGACGCCGUCUAUAGCAGCCUUUUUUGCGGCGCUUGCAAAAACGCCACGAAUAGUUUUAGUGGCGCUUAAAAGCGCUGCUAAAGGCCUAAAAAACGCCGCUAAAAGUCAGUUUUGCUGUAGUGAACUUUUUUUUAAAAUGUGUACACUAUUUUAUGCAAUCAACACCGGUUCCAACAAGUGUUUGUAAUGAGAUAAAAAUUUUGCAAUCAACACCGGUUCCAAGUGCUUGUGAGAAAAAAAAAUGUCAGAAACUUUAUUUAGGGUUCAACAAGUGAGAAAUGGAAGCCUACUCUCAUUAGAUAGGAUAAUUGUUGGUAACCCUUGGAGAAUGGGGUCCUUGGUAUGAGGAAACUAAAGGCACAAAACAAGUCUUUCAUGAUGAAAAUAGGCUUCAAUACAUUUACUGACAGGGAUUCUCUAAGGAUUCGAGUACUACGGUCCAAUUACAAAGUGCUAGAAGGCUUUCCGCAAAGCAUUGAAAGAUCAAAUUUUUCCUUUGUGUGACAUAUUCUUUGGGAAAGAUUUAUUAGAGAGAUAUAGCUGAAAGUAUUUUCUGGUCUAUUGAUGAUGGAAAAUCUACACGAUUUCAGAAAAGAUACUUCAUUUUUGGACCUUGUAUAGAUAUUUCUUAAACGAAAGCAUGCCCAUGAUUACUGUUGUGUGAGGCAGAUGAUUGAUGUUGUAGCUAGAUGGAAGUGGGAUAAAUUUGAUAUUCGUCUUCCACAAGAGGUGAUCUUGAACAUUGUGGUAUUUACCCCUUGCGAGAGGGAAUUGAGCUGGAUAAAUGCUUAUGGAGAUGGUCCACCAAUGGAAAAUUUUCCUUUAAUGUAGCUCAAAAAUUCUUAUGCAAGGAUAGUUGGAAUCCUAAGGAGGACGCAUGGUUUAACAUAUGGAGGAUGCAUGUACCUCAAAGAGUUUGAAAUUUUCUUUGGGUUUUGAUGCAUAAUAAAUUACUCACCAACACAAAAAGAUGCAAGCGUGGCAUUGACGAUAUAGAAGCCUAUGAAGUAUAAGGUGAUAUAUAAUGCAAUUAGACAUUGUCAAGUGACAAAAUUGGUUUGGUUAAAACUAAUUCAUUUUGAUAAUGGAGGUAGACUUUUCUCUUUACUCGAGAAUAUGCUUAAUAAAAGUUUCAUUUAUGAUGGGGUUGAAUGAUUCUUUUGGACUGUGAUGUUGGAAUUUGUGAAAGGAAAGAAAUAGUGAAUUUUUAGAACAAGAAGCUUUUUACCUCUAUGGAUAUAAUUAACCAAUCUUAUGUAUCGUCUAAGAAUGUUAAGGUAGCAUGGCAAAAAGAGCAAGCUGAGAAGAGAAAAGUUUUGGAAUUUCAAAAGCAUCCACAUCAUUUUGAUAAGUUUCUUGGAUUCUGUUUAUAAAACAUAAUAAGGCUUUUAACGGCGAAAUGAAUCACAUAGUCAUUGCAAUAGUACCAAUAAAUAUCAUGCUAUUUUUAGCACAAUAAAAAUUAAGUAUUGUGUUUUUUUUUUUAUUUCUUGUUUGUUUCUAAAACUAUACUUCGGAUGAGUUAUUUUAAAAAUAAUAUUACGCAAACUAUAAAAAGUGAUUCUUAUAAUCGACAUUGGUUAUUGUAGAUAAAACGAUGAAUGGAGUAUCGAAUUUCAUGAUCAAAUAUUCUAUUAGCAAUGAACCAGGUUUACAUAUUUGUUAUUACCGUCAGGGGUGAAAUUAGAGGGUUGACAAGGGCCCGUCCCCUCUAAAAUGAAAUUUUUUUUAUUUAACCCUUUUAAAAUUUUUAAAUUUUAAAUUAGUAAAGGUAAAAUUACACUUUGGCUCCCCUUAAAAAUAUAAAAAUUUGAUUUAAUUUUUUAAAAAUUAUAAAUAUAUAGGCUAUUAAAAUAGUGAAAAUGCAUUUUUAUCAUCGUAAAAAUUAUAAUUUAAUUUCGAACCCCCUAAAACAAAAUUUUGAUUUCGCCCAUGUUUACUGUGACGACUAGUAAACUGGAUAAUUAAGAAAGAUUCGAUGAGAAUUACUACAAGGAUUAUGUCUUGUAAUAACUGGGGUCUCUUAGUUGCCCUCCUUUCUUUUACCCCCCCCCCAAAAAAAAAGGUCACUGAUAACAAAUUCAAUGAGAUUAAAUUAUUAAGGAAUUGAAGUUAUGGUAAUGGUGCUAAAUUUUCUUCUAUAAACUAAUAUUCCAUUUUAUUAAUAAUAACUAAAUUAAUCAUAAAAAGAUAUUAACUAAAUUAAAAGGCCAUCGAUUUAGUGAUGGUGGAAAAUGUAAUACUGCUAAUUUGGAGAAAAGAAUGCUCAAAGUUGCUGGUAAAAUACCAGAUUGUGAAGCUAUGGUUUCCUAUUGGAUAGAAUUAAAAUAGAUUGUGGACCAUUCACUCACCUAAUUAUGACAUUUCAUUCAAAAAGUUCAUUAAAUAUUUCUUCAAUGAAAAAGAUGGCAAAAAAGAGAUAUUAAAAACUAUACUUGUAGCUAUGAAUCAUAAAAAUUAGAGAAGCUAAGACUAUCUUCCAUCCAAUCUAUAGUUAUCAUCAACAUAUUAUUAUAUUUUGAUUCUAAUAUAUUUUUUUAUUCCAUUUUGUACAUAGAGAAGGCAACUAAGGCUGAGCCAUAUUUAAGUAUUCUAUGUUCUUGCUAAAUAUGUUUAUAUCCACUCUCUGUAAGAAAUUAUUUUUGUUUUGAUUAGAGAUUCAUAUAUUUUGAUUUUUCAAAUCCUUUUUAGGGUGAAUUGGUUGGUGGGAAUUUUAAUUUUAUUAGUAAAAGUGAGAUUUUGUUACAUGUGCUAGUUUAAUUUUUUUAAAAGGGUGAUUAAGGUACUUAGUUGGAUCUAUUUAUGGAGUGUCGUCUCAUUUUUUGAAGAACCGACAUGGAAGAAUAUUAAGAAACUUCCAAUAAAGAUCUUGAUUAACUUGUCAUUAAAAACAUGCUCUCUUUUAAUUUGAUUUCAAGAGAAUCAUGAUAUUUUAAAUUACACAGAAGAAAAUGAUUGUCAUUCAUAAUCAGAUGAAUCAAACCAAAGACUUUCUAAGUUUUUUUUUAUUUAUAAUGUGUAAUGUCCCAUUUUUGCCUGGCUCGAAAUGAACCCAGAAACAUAAAUUAAAAAUCAAAAGUCCAAUGUUCGUUUACAAAUAUUUAGGCUUAAACCAAACCAAACCUAAACAUUAAAUUCAAAUCACUAACCCAAUACCCAAAUUAAUACCCUAGCCCAAACCUACUACAAGCCCAAAUCUAGACCCAAAGGUUCAAGGCCCAAAAUUCCUUAGCAAUAGAAACCCUAGGGUUCUCUUCCUCGCGCCGCAGCCAAGCCCCAGCCCUCGCUCCGUACGACCGCCACGCGCGCCUCCUUACGCCAGCACACAGCCCCCGUACUCGCGCCACGCACACCCCGUACCUGCAAAAACGACGAACGCACAGAAAAAAAAAACAAAUAUUGUAUUUUUUAUUUAUUUUUAAUCAUUUCUAUCUCUUCGGCUAUAUAGCCAAGAGAUUUCAUCAUUUGUAAGGUUACGGAGGCAAUAUACGCACAAAGAAUAAUAAAAAAAAAAGCAAUCAAAAUAGCAGAGGUGAUUUCUUUGUUCUCCGAAUCGCUUUAGCUUUCAAUGAACCAUUUCGUUUUCUCAUUGAGUUAUUGGUUGUUGUUUUUGUUAAAAAAAUAAAAAGAACAAGAUAGUAGAGGGCUUACCUUGCGAAUAGGCCACAAAUCUCUUUUUUGCUUCGUUGAAAUCGAAGCCAAAAGGGGGAUCUCAAGGCUGAAAAACCACCUCCCCUAAAGCCCGAAUACGCUGGUCGCCGACUGUGGUGGCGGAUCGGCGUUUGCACAAAAGGGGAUUAGAGUUCGGCCGAAUGAGAGGGGAAGGGGAGAGCUUUAGGACUUGUUGGGUUCCUUUUCAAAUGGCUAAUAGUUAACUUAGGUUUUUUUUUUUAAUUUUGUUUUAUGAAGCAUAUGAAACGACGCCGUCCAAAGGGGGGAAGGAUCCGUGUGUUGACCCGAUGGGUAGGCCGGAUCCGC